Molecule: long non-coding RNA, 65016 nt
Filed under: Panax ginseng (ginseng)
Lineage: Eukaryota; Viridiplantae; Streptophyta; Magnoliopsida; Apiales; Araliaceae
Description: long non-coding RNA (PGIN_LNC009613)
Source: RNAcentral
UCAUAUUUAAAUUUUAAAACAUACAGACCACACCAUAUUCGUCCUCUAGUCUCCCCCUUCUUUUUCCUCCAUUGCAUCACUUUCUUGAGCAAAAACAACAAAAAAUGAAAGAAAAACAUUAUGAUACUCCCAUACAUGGCAGAAGGUCACAUAAUCCCCACCUUCUUAGCCUUGGUUAUCCAAAUUAAAAGAAAUGGUUACCACAUAACAUUUGUAAACACCCCUCUAAACAUAAAAAAUAGCAAACAAUCACUUCAUUUAAACUCUUCCAUUGGCCUUUUAGAAAUCCCCAUCAACAGCUCCAAUCGCAACCUCCGAAAAUCAAAAACACCGAUAGCAUCUCCUUUAGCCUCAAUUUAACCUUUCUCGAAGCCUCUGUUUCUCUCAAACUCGCUCGAAAUCUCAUCUCAGACCUUAUCCGUGGUAGUGCUCCGCCGCUCGUCGUCAUUGUUGAUAUAUUUUUGGGCUGAACGACAGAGGUUGCUCAAGAAUUUGGUAUUCUUCAUACAAUUUUUAGCAUUUGUGGUGAUUUUGUCUAAAUUUUUUUAACAGAAAGAACCUAAUUGAAUUACGUAUUAUAAUAUCAAGAACAUCUAAGAACUAAAAUAAAGUUUCAAGAUUAAAUGGGUUCAACGAUAAUUAUGCACCUUUACAUGGAGAAGUUAACAUGAAUAACUAUACCUUUAAUCUAUCGCAUUUUAAUCCUCAAAACUGAUAUUCUUAAUUAUUGGGGUGAGUACUAUUUUGUUUCUAAGAGAAUUUAGAACGUGGGGAAUUAAGGGUUUAAUUAUUACUCUAUACAUAUAUAUGUACGCGUUGAAAAAAAUAUAAGGCAUGUGCCAAAAAAUAAGCAGGACAUAGCAGCGUAUGCUUCUUGACCGGGCACAACGAGUUUUGAACUUGGUUCGUCACACGUCUGUUAGUUAGAAGAAAAUAAAAGAAAAGAAAGGGUCGGGUUGUCAAAGUAAAAAGGCAGUAGUAUUAUUUCCGAGUAGUCAAAAUAUGACUUGUAUUUUAGUACUACCCAUCUCUUCCACUUCUGUCCCACUACUACAACUGUUAUAUAUCCUCAUAUCCCUAAAAUAAACACAAAGCAAACGUUCACAACUCCCUCCCUCCCUCCCUCCUUAAGUAUAUAUUACAACCACCAACAUGAAGGGAAUGGUUUGCUCCAAGAGAAAUGGCAUAUAUAAUUACUAUUUGGGUCCUCUGAGUCAAGCCUAAAGUUUUUGAGACAAAAAAACCAAAGCCAAAGCCCAAAGUUUGCCCUCUUUUCUUUUCUUUUUUGAAAAAUCAUGGAGCAAAACUGUGUCAAUGGCAAUGGAGGAGGUGUGGGUGUUCAAAUCCAACUCCCAAUUGGAUUUCGAUUCCGUCCGACCGAUGAAGAGCUCCUCCUUCACUACCUCAAACCCAAAGUUUUGUCUUCUCCAUUCCCUGCCUCUGUCAUUCCUGUCCUUCCUCAUCAUAUUCUUUUCCAUUCUCAUCCCUCUCACUUGCCAGGUAUGCAUGCAUAUAUUAGAAAGAAACUUCGCAAAAUGAAUGAAAAUGUAUAUCUGAUUAAUUUAUCAAGUAAAAUUAAUUUAUGUGUCCUGUUUUGUGCAUGGUGAAGGUGAUCCGAAAGAGAGGAGGCAUUUCUUCUGCCAAAGAAAAUGGGAUUCUUAUAUGAAAAACCGCAGCAGCAGAAGAAGAAGAAUCAGAAUCACCACUUGUGAUGGUUCUGGGUACUGGAAGGCUGCUAUUGGUAAAGAAAAAACCAUUCAUAUUGUAGCUCCUGGAUUAUCAACCCCUCUUGUUGGAAUUAAGAAAUCCUUUAUUUUCUACCAUGGAAAGCCUCCCCAUGGAGUAAAGACUCCAUGGAUCAUGCAUGAAUACCGCCUUCUCCCCUCUCAAACUACUACCCAUAAUUCUACUCAUGACGAUCAGGUAGGUAUACAUAACUGCGUACGUACUAUGUCUUGAAAUUUAUAUAUUCAUGAAAUUUACAGACUUUUUAUUUAUUUGUGUAGGAAUUGGAAAAUUGGGUUGUCUGUAGCAUUUAUCAAAGGAGAAGAAAAUCCAAGAAUCAUGGGGGGAGGAGCAGCAGCAAAACUACUAGGAAUUCGGAAAAGAAGGUGAUUAAGGCCAACAGUGAAAGCGUGAUGGAUUUCAUAAUUUUGGACAGCACUGAGUUUGGCCCUCCUCCUCUGCCCCCUUCCCCAACAUGUUCAAGUGGAAUCCCUGAUAAUAUCUCUCUUAGUAAUGAAUUGUUAGAUCAGGAGGAGGCAUGCAGCAGCAACAUUAGUUUUGCUCCUCAUUUUUCUUGUUUUAGAGAAAAUUAAUCUAUAGUUCAAUACCCUCUUCUUCCAUUGUUCUGUUUGAGAGUUUAAUUUUUUAUGUUAUGCAAUAUGGGGAAAUUAAAAAAAAUAUCAAAAUGAAGUUUCUUGAUGAUGAACUCCUCUCUAGUCUCUCCUCUGUAUACCAUUUACAUUUAGUUUUGAUUGUUUCAAUCGAGUUCUCGAUUCAAGUUGUUAUUUUGUCUAAAAAUUAUUAAAGAUUGAAUGUUUCUGCAAAGUGAUUUACUAUGACAAAUGCUUCCAUACACUCCUAACUAAUAGGCUAAUAAUAGCAUAUAAAUUAGUUAAUUAAUUCGGAUAGAUGUGCAUAUUUUUUUUUUACCGAAAGAUGAAUGAUUUUUGAGAGAGAGGAAAAGAUGAUGCAAAGAUAGAUAAAAGUGAGGCAUCUAAACAAAGGAGAUGGAACUCAGAAUUUUGUGGGAAAAGAGAUUCUCCCCUGUAGAAGUAGAAGAAGAUAUGCACAUGGGGUUGGGGAUAGGUUUGGUGUGGGCAUUUGUAUCCGACUCUCUCCAUGAAAGAAGAAAGAACUAAAUUCCCCCUUUACUAAAUUGCUUCCGAAUCUUUUUGACUUUUGUAUACAGUUCAAUAUAUCUAAUAAUUGGCUGAGCCAUAAAUAUAUUUUAAAAAUGAUAAAUAAAGAAAAGAUUCCUUCAUAUAGUGUCCUAGUGCCCCCCGCCCCACUCCCUCCUUUCUUAUCCCUUGAUUUUUUAAGAGCUUAAUAAAUGAUUACUCUAUAAUCUAUAUGAAUGGCACAUUAAUAUGUCUUGUCCUAAAGAGUGGCAAAUGGCAGUGUUUGGCACAAAGAACAAGGGGCAAUUUUUCUUCUUCAAAUUUCUAGACCUGGAAUCUGGAUGUUGCAACCUCCCUCUAUUUGAGAAUGAGAUUCCUAAUGCCAGUCAAUAGAACCAUGAUGUGGGGAGACAGCCAAUACUAUAAAAAUCAACCACCCAAAAACAUUUGAAUACGGAGUAGUAGAGUACUACUAAUGUGUGUGUGUAUAUAUAUAUAUAUAUAUAUAUAUAUAUAUAAUAUUCUUCUCCAUUAUAAAACAAAUUUUGCAUCAUUUUUACCUUGCAUGCAGUAGACAUAAGCCUGAUUAUGUAUAAGUUGCAAGAACAAGGUUAAUUAAAGAAAACAAAUGGACAGAGCAUCAUAAAUACUCACAAGAGUGGAGAUAUUCUAAAAGAAGAAGGUGAUACACUAGUUAUAAAAUUGGCAGGCUGAUUGCAGUGUAAGUUGGGUGAGAGACAGAAAAAAGUGUACCACAUGCAUUGGGCAACAAACACACAGGACAACAUACAUAGAGAGUAGUAUAGUACGACCACUUGACUGGUGCAUAUAUAUAUAUAUAUAUAUAUGUUAGAGUAAAUAUAAUUAGAGUAAGUACUAGUAAUGGUCAACCUGCCAUGGGCAGGGAGACCAAGGUUGCUUGUGGCAGUGGUUUUAGAAUCAGCUAAAAAGCCUACUCCUUUAUAUUAGUAAUUCAAGAGAGGAGAGAGAAGUUAAAAUUGAUUUUGUUGUUUUGUAUAUCUGACUUGUAACACUAGGCUGCUGCUGCUGCAUGGUCCACACAGUUUUCAUAGCAUUCUUCAUUAUUGAUAAGGUGAAUCAAAUCAAGAAAAGAAAGCUAAGGAACACAAGUUGGUCAAGAAUCAGUAUUUUUAUUUUGUUAUUUUCAGAGAACCAAGGGGGUUUAAUGGCAUCUUUAGGGAUUGUUAUGAUUUGAUGGAUCAGUUUGAUCAACUGUUAUGUUGCAUUGGUCUCCUCCAAUCAAUAUUCAGUUCACAGGCUAGGGUUGCUAUUAGAAAAAAAUUAUAAACUAGUACAAUAAAUGAAAAGAAAAAUAAUUGAUGUUUCUUGAGUUUGACCAUGAAUAUGAAUUAAUUGAUCAUAAUACUAAUAAUUAGUUCCCUAAUUCUUUUCGGAUUUAAAUGAUUGCGUGCACCUAAAGCACAUCUUUCCAUAUAUCUCAAUUAUUUCUAAAUAAAUGAUCAAUAUCUGCUACAUCUACAACUCCCCGGCCCCAGCCCCACUAGGAGUUCUAUGGAGGAUGGAUGGAUGGAUGGAGUAUAUUACUUUUGCUUUUACGUAUCAUUUUUAAUAAUUUAGACUCAACUUUUCUAAGAUGAGCAUAUACGUACUGCCUAUAAAGAGCUUACAUCAUAAGCAUAAACGACCCACUUUUUUUUUUCCUUUUUGGAACAAAUGAAUUCUGUUCAAUAUAUUACACAAUGUAUUUCGAAACCGGUUAGCAUGGAGUGAACUUCAUGGUAAAUUCAUUUCAUACCUAAUAUAGUACUAACACGCACGCCUAUGUGUCAAGACUGUAUUGGACAUGAAGUGAAUUUACUUUAAAGUUUUCAUUUCAUGAAAAUAAACAAGUAGCUUCUAGGCCCAACCGUGCUAGCGACAUAAGACAACAAAAGUGGUCCAAUAGCAUCUUCUAUUGAGCAGGAGCUAAGCAUUGGCGGGCUGAAGAUGCAAAGCAAGGCCCACUUACUAAUUCUAGUCCAAUAAGAAAUAGCAACAAAAAAUUCCAAUUUAAACUUUUAUUAUAGAAAAAGUACUCAUAUCUAUUUAGUAAACUUAUUUUAAAAAAUUACAACCUAAAUAAAAAUUAUUUUUUACUAUUUCCUCAAUUAUACAAAAAAAACUUUUUUUAUUAUUAAUAAUAAUAUGUUAAAUUUUAAUAUUAUAGCUGGGGAGUGGGGCCGUCCGUCUAAUAUAUCCAAAUGCUUCAAGUUUAUAAAAAGGAGUGUGAAUUAAGCUCAACAUAAAGUGGGAUUACGUACGUACCGGUCAACAGAAAAAAGUUGAUAAAUAGAGAACCCAACCCCCAUGCAUGUUAAUUUCCCGCCAUCCAUCCAUGCAUAUUCUCUAAAUCUGUUAUGCAAUCCUUUAUAUCCUCUCGAAUUAUUUAUUUUUAUUUUUUUAAUCCUCCGUCCUCCUCCACUAUUAUUAAUUACCAACGUACGUAACUCCCCGAUCUCUCCUCUUUGAAUAAAAAAAAAAGAAAUUAAAAUGGGUAGUGGAUUUUCGAGGAUGAAUGUUUUAAUGUCAUGCGGACGUCCCUUUCAGCCCCUUGGACGUAGAAUGGACGUAAUGCGAAAAAUGGGUAGCACCGGGUUAGAUCAUGGCACCCCCUCUACCAAAAUGCUGCUCAAUAAUAACAACAAUGAUCAAGAAUUAGAUAUUUCUAAUGUCAGUACUGUUGACUCCGGCGACGGCGAUGCCCCCAGGAACGGUUUAUUAAUCGUCAUUAUUGAUUCUGCCAAAGACAAAGAGAGAGGCGGGUCGUCCACGUUGGAACCGGGGGAGGAGGAAGGUACCGGAGAUAAUAUUAUUAUUAAUAACAAUGAAGAGGAAGAGGAGGGAGGAGGGAGGAAGGAGUUCAGAUUAUGAGGGUUUAUUAUGGAUUAGGUCACCCAGUUUUAGAGAUUAUUGUGUUGAUCAUUCAGACGACGACGAUAGCCUCAAGAAUGUUAAUGGUGGUGAGUUUUAAGCUUUAACCACCUAACUACCUACCUGCUAUAUUAAAUUUAGACUUGUACGCAUACGUAACAUGAUUCCUUAAUUUGAUCAUUAUAUAUAUUUGAGUAAUUAAUUCCACGGUUAAUUAAUUUCAAAUUUUUGUAUUUUAUAUAUUUAUUCUAUUUUGAAACCAAAGCAAGGAAUUGAAUAUAUAACGAGGUAGCCAUGCAUGCAGUUACUUGAAACGAAGGGAUCAUUAAAAUAUAUACAUGAUAUGAUGAUGAUGAUUUUGAUGAAGAACACAUUAUACGUAGGUAACGAAUUUUGACUGGUGGUGCAGGUAAAAGUAAUGGAAUAAAGAAGGAGAAGCAGACACAAACAACAGAUGAUGUCGAUAUUAAUUAUGAGGUAAUAAGUUUGUAAUUUUGAAUGAACAAAUUACUCAAACUAAUUAAAUCUUCCCGUAGGUAGAUUGAUUGUUUUUAAUUGGGCUGCGCUGCAUGCAGGUUUGCAUGAUGAGGCAGGAGGGGCAAAAGACAAAGAGUAGUGUAACAUCGGUGAGUAAAGGGAGGACAGGAAAAAGAUUGAGAAAGGUGUUUUCACACAGGACAGGUGGUAUGAAAAAUCUGUUCAAAGUCAAAAAUUGCUACAACCCCAAAGUCCCCCACAGUGGCCCUGGAAAACCACCGUCCAGCUGAAGCUGAUUGAUUACUCCCUGGCCUAAAACUAAACUCACACAAUUUAAGGAUCCUUCAAUUCUUCUAUUAUUAAUUAAUUAGAGCCCUUAAUUGCUCUCUCUUUUUUCCCCUCUUUUUCUUCUUGUAAUAUACUACUCCCUCCGUCCCAAAUUAAUUGCUCAGUUUUGACUUUUUAAAGUCAAAUUGACUAUUUUUAGAAUUAAUAAUUAAGCAUAUAUAAAUAUAUUUCUAAAAUUAUAAAAAUUGAGGUUAGUAAUAAAUUGUAUAUACUUUCUUUUGGUUAUAAUCUCUUCACCUAUAUUUUAGCAAAAAUAGUUUUAAAAAUGGUCAAUUUGACUUUAAAAAGUCAAAAUUGAGCAAUUAAUUUGGGACGGAGGGAGUACUAUAUAUAGUUGAUAACUUGAUAAUUAACCCAGAAAUAUCGCAUAACUGAGUCUUUAAAGACUCACUCAUGCAUGCGAUCCAAUCCUGGGAAAUUAAUCUUGUCCAGUAAAUGUUAAUCCUUCUAUUUAACAUGUAAUUUUGUUUUAAUUGUACAUGUCAAGCUCUACAAAAGCGCUAUUGCUGAAAAAAUGGGUUUCAAUUGUUUGAACAUGAGAAUUUUAGUUUGCUUCAUGCCACACAUAACAUAGUACUAAUUCAGAUACAUGUAAAGGUAUAAAUAUUUUUACAUAAAAUGAAGGAUAAUUUAGUAGAUCCAUUGGAAUAUAUAUAAGUAUUCAAAUUUUGAAACUUUUUUAUUAUUUUUUCUCUACUUUUAAUCUCCUUAAUAUGCGUGUAAUUUUACUUUGCUCGUAUUUGUAGGGAGAGCUCAGGAGUAAUUUCUAAUAUUCUAUUUUGGUAUAUUAAUUUGUACUAAAUUAAUAUAUAUUAUUUAAACAAUUUACAUUUUUGUGAUAUUUCAAAGUUACAAAUUAAGGAGAAAAAAUAAUACCACAUUCACAUCCAUACACAUGCAUGUUAUUUGAAGAAUAAAAAGAUAUUUCCAUAAAAUAAAUAAUCCUGACCGAUACUUAAUACUAGUAUAUUAUUUCGUCAAAUUUGACAAAUUAAGUAAAUUAAUACUAAUACAGAAGUUUUGAUGUAUAUAUUGGCCAUAACAGGAACAGGAACAGGAACAGGAACAGGCACAGGCGCAGGCGCAGGCGGUCAAAUAAAAUGAUGCAAUGCAUGUCGCAGCCUUAAAUCUGAAAACACGCUCGCGCGCGCGCUUUCCUUUUCUCCCCAAAUUCUGACCUUUGACCCUUCAAUUCCUAAUUCCUACAACAAUACUGAAUGUGCCCGCAAAUAUUGUUCCCUAAGCGGAAAGGGCUCCUACAACAAUACUGAAUGUGCCCGCAAAUAUUGUUCCCUAAGCGGAAAGGGCUACUAUAGAGGUCAUAUUAAAAUACUAAUGAUGCCCGCAAUACUGAUCGUUAAGUGGAAAUGACUACUUAAUCAAAUUAGAUAGAGGUAAGAUUAUAUUAAAAUAUUAAUAGGUACAAAUACCUACCUAGAAGUCAUAUGUCAGAUUAAAAUACUAUUUAGUAUCGAAUAAGCGAAAAGGACUACCUAGACUACUUAGAUGCCAUAGGCGACUACCUAGAAGAGAGGUCAGCUAAGCAGAAAAGACUAUCUAAAUGUCAAAGGUCGACUAAAUGAAAAGGGCUAUCUAGAACCUAGAGGCAGAAAUAUUGAUAGAUACUUAGAGAGUCUGAGACCAAAUAAAAAUAUUGAUAAAUAAUUGUUCGACUAAGACUAAGCAAAAAGGAUUAGGCUACCUAAAGGAUGUGUAAAGGGCAUCGGUGGAUAUUGGGUGUCGCUAAAGCAUCGGAUAUCGCUUUAAUGAAGUCGUGAACAUUGUGGAUCUUAUAUUGGUUUUUUGUUUUUAUAAAAUUUAAAAUGUAUUAAAAUAGAAUUGAGAAUUACAGUCUCAUGGGAUACCUCAAUCAUGAUAUAACAUAGACAUCAUAUCGGAUUGAUAUAGACUUUGGACUCAUUGAAUAAAUAGAUUUCUAGAAAAAUUGAGGCUUAUGGUAACAUCUUUUUUCUCUUUCUUUGGGAACAUAAAACAGACUUGUCGUUUCUCUUUCCAUAACUAUAUAUAUAUAUAUAUAUAUAUAUAUAUAUAUAGAGGACGGAUCUAAAACAUAUCUAUUAAAUAAUAUAUAUUUAUUAAAAUUACGUCAUUUAUUUUGGAGAUUAUUUUUAAAAAUAAAUGGGGCCGUGAGUAGUAUUUUUAUAAAAAAAAGAAAUUAAGUAAGACUCUUCUCUAUUAAUAUUAUUUUAUUUUUUAAAAAAAAACUUUAAAACUAUGCGGUUUUAAUAAAUGUAAUAAAUUUAUGAUUAUAUUAUUUAAGAUUAUGUUUUAGAUUCGUUUUGUAUAUAUUCACACACAUAGUUACAGUAUUUGUUGUUUUUGAUUAAUUUGAAAUGAAAUCGUCUCUGCAAAAGCUGAGAAAGCUUGCACGGCACAAGAGCGAUGCCAAGGAGAAGAAGGAUAAUCAAUCUUUGGCGCAAUUGGAUGAGCUUGCUCAAGCUUCGCAGGUAUAUGCUUUUAUGCUGUUAUAUAGUUAUUUUUUAUGUGCGAAUACUAAAUAUCUACUCCGAAUUUAGCAUAAAAAGAAGUUUUUGGGAUUAGGGUUUUGAUUGUAUGCUUAUGGAAUGAAGAAUACAGCACUAUGUGCCUUAUCUUCGUAGUGUAGCUAAAUUUUAAGGGUUAACUGAGUUGACAAUAAAUUAACUGCAAAUAAUUUGUUAGCAAUGUUGCUGGGUGCCUCGGUUAGUCUAAGUGAAUUGAUAAGUGGCUCUGACUCUUUAAUUUUAGGGAUACGAUGUCAUAAUGCACAUACAACCGUUUUCUUGACCAUGCGUAGAGGUUUUAUUCUUGAAAAAGGUGUAGGACACGAUUUUACUUAAUCAAUUGGUCAACAUUACUAGAAAUGAAUCUUUCAACUACUUCAUCCCCAUUCUUGUACUGACAUUCAUUGAAUUCUAAUCACCGUUCACAUAAUCUAAGCUACCAUAUCAUCUGCCCAAACUUGGGGUUGUAAUCAAUAUAACUUAAGUCACUACAUUGCUGCCAAACUACUGUAUAUCUUAUUGUUCAUCAGAGAGGAAGUAUUAUUGUUCAGCAGAGAGGAAGUAUUAUUGUAAUUGUUAUCUGUAAUAUAUAGUAUUAUUUAAUAUAUAUAUAUAUAUAAUAAAACAGAACAUAAAUUUAUAUAUAUAUAACACAGAAAAUAUUAAUAAAUAAAUCCGAGUCCUUUGAAUUCACAAAGUCUCUUUAAAUCAAAUUUAUUCCCUCACAGGUGCUAAGGAUUAAUUGAAUAAUUGCUUCCCAAGAUAAAACGAAUUUACAAUUCUUAAUUAGUAGCACUACAAAAUUAAGAAUUCAGUGAACGCAAAUUCUAUGUUAUAUACUCGAACUUUACUUUUAAUAAUAAUGAUGCAUGAAAAUGGUGCAUGAAUACACUUGCUCAAAAAUAGGAAACGGGAAAAUAUUUGAAGGAACGGCGGAAUCUGCAGAAACGGGAUUUUGCAGAACACAGAACGGAACUCUGUUUAAGACUGUGGAAUGGGAUUCAUUCUGCAGAAACGAGAUUUUUGCAGAAGGGAAGGAACGAGAUUUUUCAUAAGGGAAGGAACGGAACGGGACGCAGAAACAGAACGGUGUAAUCAAACUUAUGCCUGAAAAUGUAAUCCCACAUAGUUUAUUUAUAGAAUAAUUAGGCAGUUUAUUACCGUUAGGACGCGUCAACCGCCCACGACCCACGAACCCGACUCCGACCCGGCCCGUCAAUUUUCUCAUUCAAUUAUUAAUGGAUUUGAACACAUAAAUAUAUAUUUUAUCAAACCCAUUUUCAACAAUCCCCCACAUGAAUGUAAAAUUGACUUUACAAUAUGUAAAAUAUGUUAUGAAUAUGCAGACACUAGUUUGAGUACAUGAGAAAAGAUAUUUCAUCAGGUUAAGUAGCCUAGUGGCUUUGAACUUACCCUAGUAAAAUCUAUCGGAUUUACUUAGCUAAUCAGUAGACUUGAUGUAUUUGAACUGUCAACUUUUCGUGUAAACCAAGACAAUAGAAUUCACAAAAUAUCUCUUCAGACAUAGUUGGUUCUCACGUUUGUGUUCAUUUUGGCCUUGAAACACCUCUUGGUUCCGUGAGUAUAUUAGAGAAUUUAGCCUUCAAAAUUAUCACAGAAGUGGCCCCCUUCUUACUCACGUAGGUGACUUCUAUCAAGAGUAUCCUGCAAUACUCCACUUGAACCUAUUUCAAGAUAUAAAAGUCAUUAAAAGCGUAAUUUAUCCUAAUUCUCGCGGCAGAUGUGCACUAUCUCAUUUCAGGAAUGGUUAGGAGUAAAUAUCUCCUCGGUGCUUUACUGAGUACUACAUAGUUCGGUUUGCCCAUUGAACCUAGAUCUUGGGAUCUCCAGUCAGCUAGGUUGGGUUGCCACUAUGACGACUCUUAUUUAAACAGUAGGCUUUAAACCCAUUCCCCUUGAUGAUUUUUUCACUUGCUUUCUUGUUAAACCUUUUGUAAGCGGAUCCGCAAUAUUAUCUUUUGACUUUACAUAGUCAAUUGAGAUAAUUCCAUUUGAGAGCAAUUGUCUAACGGUAUUAUGUCUACGUCGUAUAUGGCGUGACUUACCGUUAUAUAAAUGACUCUGUGCUCUUCCAAUCGCUGAUUGGCUAUCACAGUGUAUACAUAUAGCUGACACAUGUCUUGACCAAUUUGGAAUAUCCUCUAAGAAAUUACGAAACCACUCAGCUUCUUCAGCUUUGUCUAACGCAAUGAAUUCUGAUUCCAUUGUAGACCUUGCAAUACACGUUUGUUUUGAGGAUUUCCAAGAUACCGCAGCACCUCCAAGGGUAAAGACAUAUCCACUUGUAGAUUUCGAGUCUUUAUUAUCAGAUAUCUAAUUAGCAUCACUAUAUCCUUCCAAUAAUGCUGGAUAUCUUGUAUAGUGCAGUCCAUAUUUUUGAAUAUGUUUUAAAUAUCCUAAAACUCUCAAAAUUGCUUUCCAGUGAUCUUUACCUGGAUUACUCGUAUACCUACUUAGCUUACUUACCGAAUAAGCUAUAUCUGGUCUAGUACAGUUCAUGACAUACAUUAAACUGCCUAUUAUACGAGAAUAUUCUAGUUGAGAUAUGCUAUCACCUUCAUUUUUAGCUAGAUGAAGAUUUAUAUCAACUGGGGUCUUAUUUAGAAUUAUAUUAUACUUGUUAAAAUUUUCAAGUAUUUUCUCAAUGUAAUGAGAUUGAGAUAAUAUAAUUCCAUCAGAGGUUCUAGAAAUCUUGAUUCCUAAAAUUAUAUCAGCAACCCCCAAGUCUUUCAUAUCAAAUCUAUUUGACAACAUACGUUUUGUUGAGUUGAUAACUUCAUUGUUGCUACCCAUGAUUAACAUAUCAUCCACAUAAAGACAAACAAUGACAUAUUCCUUUUGAGUGCUUUUGACAUAAACACAUUUGUCACACUCAUUAAUUUUAAAUCCAUUUGAUAACAUAACAUUAUCAAAUUUCUCAUGCCAUUGUUUUGGUGCUUGUUUUAAUCCAUACAAGGAUUUAACAAGUUUGCAUACUUUCCUCUCUUGUCCAGGAGCAAUGAAACCUUCAGGUUGUUCCAUAUAUAUUUCUUCAUCUAAUUCACCAUUUAAGAAUGCAGUCUUUACAUCCAUUUGAUGUAUUUCAAGUCUAUUUAAAGAUGCUAUUGCUAUUAGCAUUCGAAUAGAUGUAAUUCUUGUAACAGGUGAAUAAGUGUCGAAAUAAUCCAAUCCUUCCUUUUGUCUAUAGCCUUUAACAACAAGCCUUGCUUUAUAUUUAUCAAUUGAGCCAUCAGCUUUCAUCUUCUUUUUGAAGAUCCAUUUAUACCCUAAGGGUUUUGAACCAGGUGGAAGGUCCACCAAUUCCCAUGUAUGAUUUUGCAUAAUGGACUCAAUUUCGCUAUUUAUUGCUUCUUUCCAAUGAGAAGCAUCUGGAGAGGAUAUUGCUUCCUUGUACGUUCGAGGAUCGUUUUCUAACAAAAAUGUUAGAAAAUCCGGACCAAAAGACGUUGAAGUCCUUGCCCUUUUGCUACGUCUAGGUUCAUCCAAUACAGACUUUUUGUCUAUAUUUUCAGGAUUAUUACUAGUAGCAUCCAAAGGUCUUUUGUUUGAAUUUGAAUCUUUAUUUUCAUUAUAUGGAAAAAUAUUCUCAAAGAAUGAUGCGUCUCUUGAUUCAAUAAAUGUAUUAACAUGAAUAUCAUUAAUUUCAGAUUUAUGAACAAGAAAGCGAUAAACACUGCUAUUAUUUGCAUAACCAAUGAAUAUACAAUCAAUUGUUUUUGGUCCUAUCUUAACCUUUUUAGGUUUAGGAACCAUUACCUUUGCUAGACAUUCCCACACUCUUAAGUAUUUAUAGCAAGGUCUAUGACCUUUCCAUAAUUCAUAAGGUGUUUUAUGAGUUUUCUUAUGAGACACUUUGUUAAGAAUAUAAUCGGCAGAAAGCAAAGCUUCCCCCCACAAAUUCUGGGGUGCUCCAGAACUGUUUAACAUAGUAUUCAACAUUUCUUUCAAUGUUCGGUUAUUGCGUUCAGCAAUACCGUUAGAUUGAGGUGAAUAAGGAGCAGUAGUUUGGUGAAUAAUACCAUGAGUAGAGCAAAUCUCUUCAAAUGGUGAUUCAUAUUCACCACCUCUAUCGCUUCUUAUUGCUUUAAUCUUUUUGUUCAGUUGAUUUUCAAAUUCAUUUUUAUAAAGUUGAAACAUUUUUAUUGCCGCAUCUUUGCUUCUUAGCAAAUAUACAUAACAAUAUCUUGUGCAAUCAUCAAUAAAGGUAAUAAAAUAUUUUUUUCCCACCUCUUGUUUGCACAAACUUUAAGUCACAUAUAUCAGUGUGAAUUAAAUCUAGAGGUUCAGUUUUCCUUUCAACAGAAUGAAAGGGUAAUCUUAUCAUUUUUGAUUCCACACAAAUUUCACAUUUAUGUUUUUGAUUAAUAUCAAAUUUAGGCAGGAAUUCUAAAUUAAUUAAUCUACGCAAUGUAUUAUAAUUAACACGUCCUAAUCUAGCAUGUCAUUCCUACAAACAUAUCAUUUUUAGUAAGUACAUGUAGAUAUAAUAACAUAAACAAAUUACCUGUGAUAUUGCUGCAGCAGCACCACCCAUUUUUUAUUUAUUUAUUGUAUUGAGUUUUGGUUAAUUUCUAAUCUAUUUAUAGAUUAGGCCGUACCCCAACACGUAUCUUAAUUAAUUGGUCGUAUCCCAAUUAUGGGAUAUGCCGUAUCCCAAUUUUUGGAACGUAUCCCAAUUCCAACCGAUUCUAAUUUUUGAAAACUUUUGGCCCAACUCAAUUUUGGCUCCCAAAUUCCAAUCGAUUCUAAUAUUAGCGUAUUUUUGGCCCAACUCAAUUUUGGCUCCCAAAUUCCAAUACCCGUUAAUAUUACCGUUGGAAACUAGCAAAUAUUACCGUUGGCUCCCAACUUCCAAUAACUGAUAUUACGGUUGAUUUUCAAAUAAAAUUUUAUUAAAAUAUAUAUAUAAAAAUGUUGUUAGCAUUACUUAAACCCAAGUCCUUAAUAUCAACACUUCUCUUUUAUCUAACUGAACCAAUAUUAAUUAUUGAUUAUAUGGAUGACAUAUAAUAUAUUUAUUAUAUACUUUUAGAUAAUGAAAAUAUCUAACACCAAGCAUAACUUAGAUCCAUCAAAGGAUAACCCACGUGAUAAGCAAAAAUCACGCCUACCCACGCGAAUCCGAUAAAAAAAAAAACAGUUUCGCAAAUAUUAUAUAAUCAGAAUAUAUAUAAACAGAAUAAAUAUUCUAUUUGAUAAACAGGCUCAAAUAUAUAUAAUCAGAAUAUUAUAUAUAUACUAAUAUGCAAACAUAAUAUUAUGUAUGUUAAUAAUAACAUGCAUAUUCGGAGUGCUCUUUUUUAAAGUAAUCAGCGGAUUCUAAGUUGAAUGAUUAGUGGUAGAAAUUGAACACCAACACGCCACCAAUUAUCAAAGUUUGUAAAUGCAAUCAUGCCCCAACUUUUUGUAAACAACUACUAUGGUAAUUUAUUACAAUAAUUAAUAAUAAAACAAUUGCAUAUACCUGAACUAGGAACAUGCAGAAUUAGGAACAUGCAUGUAUUAACAAGGUAUAAUAAUACUAAGUUGGACAGGUUUUUUCAAUUUUCUGUUUAAAUAUUUAAACAGAAUUAACAUGUAAUAUAUUAUCAAUAUUUACAGAUAACAUGUAAAUAUUUAAAUAGAAUAUUAAUAAACAGAAUAUUAUAAUUUUUAAAUGAUAUUUAAAUAACAGAAUAUAUUAUAUGCAACAAAUAUUCUGACCGAACGAAAAAUUAAAGCAUUAAACAUAUUUUUCAAACAAGAAAAUAUAUUACCCAAUAUUAAUAACAAGUGUUGUUCUUAAUAUGAAAAUAAUGAUAAUAUAUAAAAGUCAUCUACGUGAUACUCUUGCAGGAUAUUAACAAAUGAUUGAAACUUUGAGUUCAAUUCUUAAAAGAAUUCAAAUUUUUUCUAAGGAAUUAAAAUCAAACUGCACAGGAACUUGAGAAAAUUUAUAAUACUAUGUAAUUCUAUUUUUGUUUUAAUUACUUUAUACACAGAAUAAUUGUAGUACAGAAAAACAAAACGAUUUUCUGGUUUACAUAAAUAAACAGAUAGAAUUACACUACAAUUACAGAAUAUAUAUAUAAAAAAUAUAUAUAUAUAUUAACAGAAUAUAUAUAAACAGAAUAUUAUAUAUAUAUGCACAUAUAUAUAGAAUAUAUAUAUAUAAACAGAAUAUUAUAUAUAUAUAAACAGAAUAUUUUGUUAUGCAAUAUAUUAAUAUAUUAUAUUCUGUUAUAUUAACAUGCAAAUAAUCACAGAAUAUUCUGUAUAUUAAAUAACACUAUAAUUACAUAAAAAUAAAUUUGCUUUAAGAUUGUUAUCUGUAAUAUAUAGUAUUAUUUAAUAUAUAUAUAUAUAUAUAUAUAUAAUAAAACAGAACAUAAAUUUAUAUAUAUAUAACACAGAAAAUAUUAAUAAAUAAAUCCGAGUCCUUUGAAUUCACAAAGUCUCCUUAAAGCAAAUUUAUUCCCUCACAGGUGUUAAGGAUUAAUUGAAUAAUUGCUUCCCAAGAUAAAACGGAUUUACAAUUCUUAAUUAGUAGCACUACAAAAUUAAGAAUUCAGUGAACGCAAAUUCUAUGUUAUAUACUCGAACUUUACUUUUAAUAAUAAUGAUGCAUGAAAAUGGUGCAUGAAUACACUUACUCAAAAAUAGGAAACGGGAAAAUAUUUGCAGAACGAUGGGAAGGAACGGCGGAAUCUGUAGAAACGGGAUUUUGCAGAACACAGAACGGAACUCUGUUUAAGACUGUGGAACGGGAUUCAUUCUGCAGAAACGAGAUUUUUGCAGAAGGGAAGGAACGAGAUUUUUCAGAAGGGAAGGAACGGAACGGGACGCAGAAACAGAACGGUGUAAUCAAACUUAUGCCUGAAAAUGUAAUCCCACGUAGUUUAUUUAUAGAAUAAUUAGGCAGUUUAUUACCGUUAGGACGCGUCAACCGCCCACGACCCACGAACCCGACUCCGACCCGGCCCGUCAAUUUUCUCAUUCAAUUAUUAAUGGAUUUAAACACAUAAAUAUAUAUUUUAUCAAACCCAUUUUCAACAUGUUCAACAUAGAGGAAGUUGGGACCAAGAGGGUAAUGUUAAGCUUCUUAUGCUGUGCGUACUGUCUUCAGAACACCACAAUUGUUUUGCCAUUAUAAAAGAUGAGAAGAAAAUUCCCUAUAUAGCACAGUUUAGUAAUGUAUUCCCUAUUUUUGACAUUUUCUUAAUUAAAUUAUGUUCCUGAGAUGAAUGUUGGGUACCUCAUGCCGCACCAUGUUGGCAAAGAAAAAGGCAGCAAGGAAGUCGAAGUUGCAGGCUUACAACACUGCACAGAGUGCAAGGAGAGAAGGAGGGACAUUGAAAUUCACUAUUGGUAAUUAUUCAAGACACGUGGAGAAGGGAAUCUUUAGUGAAGUUCGAUUUCAAAGAACUUGUGAAAGUAGAAUGAGUGCUCAUAAUAACAUCCAAUUGCAGGGAACCGACCCUUAAAUCUGAAUCUCAACUCAAAGUUCAUCAAAAGACAACCCAACCCAAAAUAUCGUCAUUUUCUCAAAAUUCAUUUUUUUAGGAAGUAUAUAAAACAAAGGUAAAGGAAAAAGAACUAGAAACAGAAAAAGCGAUUUUCUGGUUGCAACCAAAUGCAUUUUUCUGUUGAUAAGUAAUCUAGUUGCAUAUUUUUUGCUCCAAAUUCUAUUUGUUGAGGAAUACAUAACUAAGAAACAACAAAGAAAGGAAGAAAGAAUAUUUUGUAGCUCAGUUUACACUUUACAUUACUAAGUAAAUAUCUUGUUUAGAUCAGUGUUGCCUUUUUAGGUUCAUUGUGAACAAAUUCAACAUCAACCAUGUUUCUUUAUUUUUAUUCAUUUUCAAAAUGUCAUUUGAGUUGCCAACCAUGCAGUAAAGAAACUGUUAUAUCGGGAACAAUUAUUGGAAUGCAUCAAGGCAAAUGUUGACUUCCCCCGGGCACUUGAAAAGAAGCAUUUAUUGUGUUUGGAAAGUGUUUCAUUGGAACUUGUGUACAUACAUCUAAUAUAGUUAAUUUAUGAAAGUGUCGUAAUGUCGUUACAUGAAUAUGUUAGAAUUAUUGAUGUUGUACACUAAAUUCUAUUAGUAAACUUAGGUGUUGUUUGUUUACAUCUGAUUGAUUCUUAAUGGACUGUCUCUUAUUCGCUAAGAGACAUGAUGCUGUUUGUUUUGUUUUUUGUUACCUCUGAAUAUCUCUUAAUCAGACAGAAAAUGAAAUCUUAAUACUUAAGAGGUAUCUCUUAAUGAAAUUUUUUGGAUAAUUUUUUUUAUAUAAAUAUAUUCAACAAUAUUAUGCACUCAUUUUUAUUAAAUUGAAUAUUUAAAAUUAUUAAAUAAAAUUUUACCCUUUAAAAUGCUAAAAUAGUGUCAUUAAGAGACAACUUACUUUUUUGUUAUCAAACAAUUUUUUAGAUUCAGACCUUAUAACCAUUCAGAUAAGACAUCAUAAUCAUUCAGAUCUUAAUUCCCAAGUUUAUCAAACACAACCUUAAUUCUAUUAAUAAAAGUUCCAUAACAAAAUGUUGUAAGAGUAAAACUGUAAAAGCUUAACAUCAUCAGGACUGAAAUUUAAAAUGGGGAAUGGUAUUAUAAAUGAGUGUUCAUUUAACAAAAAUCCAAAAACUAAAGUAAAUAAGCAAUAACAUUUACAGAGCACAAACAUUAUGUGCAUUGUUUACUUAUGACUUAUAAACUUGUAGCUUUAUUUGCCUAAUUGUGUUAUGAAAUCAUGUAGUUAGGUUUUUUCAUAUGCGUUAAGAGGAUUCUAAAUUUCUAACUAUUAAGCAGCCUCUCUUAUGAAAACUCGUAAGUUGUGUGCUGUGGGUUCUAGUCACCAUACAUUCUUCAAGUGCUGAUUACAGUAUAUUUGUUUUCCAUUUUGGCAGGAUAUGCAAGAUAUGAGAAGGUGCUAUGACAGCUUUCUAUCUGCAGCUGCUGCAACAGCCAAUAGUGCAUAUGGUACACUAAUAUCCUAUUUUCUUGCGUUUGUGCAUUUGUCUCUUUUUUGGAUACAUACCAAUACGAGUUUUUGUUUAUUCUCAACUUAGACUUGAUUGGAUGGGUAUAUGUCUAGUUAUGAUUUAAUAACCUAUUUAAAUACCACUUUUAAAUAGUCUAUCUUUAUACAAGGAUGCAUUAAAGUAAUUUCUAUAUUUGUAUGUCAGAAUUUUCAGAGUCACUACAGGAAAUGGGGACAUGUUUACUGGAGAAAACUGCAUCCAGUGCUUAUGGAGAAAGUGGUGAGAAAACAAACUUUGUCUUCUUGAAAGUUAGAGUUAUCUUUGUUUAGGGAAAAUAAUAUUGUAGUGGCACUAACAUACUUGUGUGAUAUAGAUGUGGCUCAAAUAUAGAGUCGGUAUAGAUUUUCUACAUUUUGACUAAUUGGACUGUCACUUGUGCUGAUAAUAGGAUUUUUUUUCUUCUAAUGUUUUUAAUAUAUAUAUAUAUAUAUAUAUAUAUAUAUUUUAAUUAUGAAGCUAUGCUUCUGUUUGAGAGAUGUUCUAAAUUUUGGCUCCAAACUUUAGUAUUAUUUCAUCAUGUCCCCUAAAACUUUAAACUAAUUUCCCGUAUAAUCUCAGUUGGGGUGUGACCCCUGACUCACCCUUGUGUAUAUCUUGCCUGGGUACUGGUCAAUUUAGUAAUUUCAGAAGAUGGCCCAUGAAGAUUGGUGAAACAGGAGUGCAUUGAGGUGUUUGGAUUGUCGUUUAUCAACUUCACUCACAAACCUGCUGUCUGGGCUCCAAAUACAUUUUUGAUUCCCAGAAUAAUACAGAAAAUUUUAAAACUACUUGUGAGCUUUAAGAAAAUUCAGAAUUCUAGAAUAACUUUAAGAACUUCAAACAACAUUAACUUUAGAGGAAUUCAGAAUUCAAUCUAGAAGUUUCUACGCUGUUGCAUCACUUGGUCCCUUUGAUUACAUAAAACACAAUCAGUAGCAGCAACCACCUUCUUCCUUUCCUUUUUCCUCUUUUAUUUUUUGUUUGAUUAUAGUGAAUAUUGUAUUAAGAACAAGUAUAAAAAUUUUGUUGGUUAUCAAAUUUUUUUAAACCCUUCUCUUUUAGGCCUUUUGACUUGCUGUAAAUUUACAUAACUAUGUGAGCUUAACAGUGAUUAAUGUUCAUAUCUGUGCAGGAAGAGUAUUACUGGUGCUGGGAAAAGUGCAGUUAGAACUUCAGAAACUUGUUGAUAGUUAUGUGAGUGCUUAGUGACAUGUUGUAGCUACAUCAAACUUUGUGAUUCAGCACUACAUUGACUCUAACCUGGUAAUGACUUAUUGUUCUCUGAAUGUCAGCGCUCUCAUAUAAUUCAUACAAUUACAAACCCUUCAGAGUCUCUUCUCAGCGAGCUUCGGAAAGUUGAGGUUUGUAUUUAAUGCAUCAUUUUUAUUUGUUUAUCAUUUAUAUUUUAAGGCAAGCUUGACCUGGGUAUGAGUAUUGAAACCGCCAACCUUGAGGUUGUUCCUCAAGCAAGGGACGUUGUUAUGAUGGAAUUGCCUGUCCAAAUUAUAGUUAGUGAGCUUUCUCUGUUUGACUGGUGCAGGAGAUGAAACUACAGUGUGAUGCAAAAAGGUAUAAAUGGUUCUGUUCUAGUUUAAACUUUUCUGUCAUUGGGAUGCAUCUUUAUAGAUUGUCUGCAUGAUCUUCAGAGAGGUAUAUGAACACAUGCUGGCACAAUAUAGAGAUAAAGGAAGGUUGAGAAGUGGAAAAAAUGAAAAUAUUACUUCUCAGCAAGUAAAAGAAGCUCGCAAUGAAUGUGAUGAUGUGGCGAGACUAUGUGUUUUUUGGGUGAAAUCACUGAAGCAAGGGCAAUGCCGCAGUCUUUUAACACAGGCAGCUCGUCAUCAUGCAGCACAGGUGUCCGUUACAUCUGGCAUGAAUUAAAUACUUAAAUGUCAUAGAAUCUGUCCUUGGAGUUUUGAUAAUUAUUUUAUUUUAUUUUCCCCUUCUACCUGAAAACAGUUGAAUUUCUUUCGGAAGGGACUUAAAUCUCUUGAGGGAGUUGACCCCCAAAUAAAACUAGCUUCUGAAAACCAACACAUUGACUACCAAUUCGUCGGACUAGAUGAUGGAGAAGAUGGAGAGGGUGAAUCUAUGAACAGCUAUGGGAAUAACAAUGAUGAUGGGGAAUCGAGUUUUGAUUAUAGACAAAAUAAGCUGAGCUUUGAUAAUGAUUGCACAUCAAGGAUUUCUAUGGAGGUAUUAUGUUUGCUUUUAACGGUAGUGUGGCCAAAACUUAGCCUAAUUCCGAGCCUUACUUUAUGCAUUGAAUGAAUUAUUGCGUUAUAUUAUUAUUAGGUAAAAGUACACAUCAUGUCUAUUGGAUUGGCCAGGUACCAGAUUAGUGAAGUUAGGUUUGUUAAGAUUGCUAGUCUUGUGUUGUCCUAUGCUAUCAUUUUUCUCCAUAGGUAAUAAGAUAAUAAACUAGCUUACUUUCAGACCAACUCAGUGUUGGUGUAUUUGGGAACUACCGUAGUAGAAUAAUUCAUGAGUGCUCCCAAAAGAAUCUCUAAGCAUUCGUUUUAUUUAAUGAAAUAGAAAUUUUAAGUGUAGUUUAAGUGGUGUUUAUGGUAGAAAAACUGUUGUUGAUAGAAUAAAAGGCACCUUCACAAGAAAAACUCACCAACUUCACUUGUAACUGGCAUGAGUAAGGUCUAACUUUUAGCAGAAAUGAAUUAUAGCUCUACCAACAAUCUAUACUAUAAGUGAGAAAAUAAACCCAAGCAUGGAUGGUAGACAACUGAAAUGCUUAGUGGGUCUUGUUACCCUUGCUAGACCUGCUCCUGAUUCAUAUUCCUACAUUGGAGAAGAGCUGUUGUUUUCCUUGUUUCUUUUCACCUACUGGAUGUUUGAAACUUCGAAUAAUCUUUUCCAUUUUUUCUUAUUCUUCCUUCUUUCUUACACAUUCGUAUCAAAGGGUGGAUAUGAGGUGAGUCCAUGACAUCCUUCUAUGGUUGUUUGCCGAGACCUCCAUUCUGAGAAGCUUAAGCCUUCUAAUGUUUGAUUAACUGACACACACACACACACACACACACACACACACACACACACACACACAUAUAUAUAUAUGGAAAAUUUUUAAAGGGCCAGAGGGUUGGGGGGCUCCUGUGACCCCGUGCUAAAUCCCUGACAGUUUGUAACUCAUGGUUUGAGUAAAGAAUAACCAAAUACCCGACUGUCUAGGCACAAUAUUUCCUUAUUUGCACCUUUGGUCAUAGAUGGAACAGAUCUGGUGAUGAUAUACAUAGCAGGUAUUGUUCUGUUCUGUACAUCUCACUCGAUCAAUAUAUAUGUAGCUAAUUUUAUGUAUGAUGUGUGAAUACUGCAGUUGGACCAGUUUGAUGUUCUGUAUCCUCAUGCUUUGAAAUUGGAAGAAAAAGAGGUAAAGAGACUUCAGCAUCCCUUUUGUCUAGUGUACGGAACACCUUUUUUUUUUGGCCCUAUUUAGAUUGAGCAAGUAAUCCACUCCACUUUCCUUGAAAUAAUUGCUGUAAUAAAAAUACAAAAUCCUGGAUUUGUCAAACUGUAGGCAUUAUGUUAUCAACUGUGUGGAAAUUGGUCAUGGGAAUUUAUAUAUGCUUUCACAUCUCUCUCCUCGCAUACAAGGCCCACUAGCGCAUGCAAUCAGACAUGAAACCAAGACCUAGAAUUAGAUCUGUGAUACAUGUUACUCACUUAGAGGCUCCAAAAGCUUAAGAUAUUAGAGAAUUUACCCAACCAAAUCUUUUUCUUGAGCAACUUCUGGAAUGGGUAGUAUAGUGGUGAACCUAGUCAAUUUUUCCUGGCUUUUUCAUUGUCAAUUCUACUCGGGACAAAAAAAGAAAUAAAAAAUCAACUGUUCUGUGCCUCUCAUUUACCAUCUCAUCUCCAUAUCUGCAGAUAACCAUUAGCAAAAAUAAAGGGGCGCAGGCUUUCAGUGGGCGACCUCGACCGAGCAGCCAUUCUGCCCCAAUAUAUCCAGAUAACUUUGAUCCAGCUGAAAGGGGUGGGGAAGUGCAACCAUCCAUAUGGAAGUUUCACACAUAUGUGCUGCCUACUCCAGCUACUGCAAAAAUUUCAGCUUCAAGCGCCACUGGCUCUGGUUCUCAGUCAAGUUCUACAAGCCUCAGCACAAGCACCCCAAAUCUGCCGCAUUCUUCCCCACUUCGCCCUGAAAAGCGUGAGAACAGUAGCAAUUCCUCCAUCCCGCUGCCCCCUCCUGAGGGACAUUCAAUCUCGCAGUUUGAUAUGCAUUGUGCAUUUGAUCUUAACAAAAAUAAAAGACAAGCCUUUUCUGGUCCUAUUCCAAGUAAACCCUGGUCAACCAAGCCUAUGUUAUCUACCAGCGGUAUCAUCACCUCCAGAGAACUUCCCCAGCUAGAAGUUUCUCGUUCGCUUUCUCGAGUUCGAGUUUCUCAGCCUUCUUCAUCUCCAAAUGUAUCCCAUAGUGUUUCACCUCCCCUUGUAUCUUCGCCUAGAAUACCUGAGCUUCAUGAGCUCCCUAGGCCCCCAGGCAGUUUAGCCUCCAAGCCAGGAAAUUCUUCAGUGAUUGGGCAUUCUGCUCCAUUGGUAAUCAGAAAUAAGGAGCAUUCUUCUCCUACUAACAGAAGUCCUGGGCUUGCAUCAAUUGUAGCAUCUCCGCUUCCAGCUCCUCCAGUAACUGUUCCUCGGAGUUUCUCCAUACCCUCUAGCAGUCAGACAGCGAAGGCAUUAAGUGUGGUCAAGCUAUUAGAACCUUCUCAAAUUCAAGAUAAGGUUGAAAAAGUAACUUCUCCUCCUCUGAUGCCUAUUUCCCUUUCAAACAUGAAGUCAUUAUCAACUGUUUCUGAAUUAGCCUCCAAUCCUGGGUUGAUCAGAGGUAAUUAAGUACCCGAAUGGUCGUUUUUUGUUGCUAGUAUAUUUUAAAAUGGUGAAAGUUCCCAAUUCCUUAAUUACCUUAAAAUGCCCUUAAUAUUCCUUUUGUUCUUGCUACUGGUAAGAGUUAAAUAUAUGAAAUAGCUUAAAUGCUUAAUAGCUGUUUUCUGAUUUCUGACUUUGGGUACCGGGGAAGGAGAGAGAUGGUUGACCAACAUACAGUCCUGUCAAUUGAAGUGAUUAAAGAACGUUAUCGGUUCACAAUGAUUGAGAUGUUUUGUUUUCCCUGUAGGUCAUAUUAAUCCUCAGUUAGAAUUGUGAUUUCUUUUCAACAUUUGGGGUGUCCCCAGAGACUAUGAGUAAUGAGGUAAAGUGUUCGUUUGCGAAUCCUUCCAUUCAUCGUGGUGGCGUGAUGUAUGAUACAUCACCCAUUCCUAAGUAAAUCAAGUAGAAUAAGACCCCCACAAAUACCACCUUAAUAUGUGAGAUGAAUUUUCUGCUUGUGAGAUAAGGUGGAUAUUUUUUUCAUGUAUAAGGCGAUGUUACACCUUUUGAGAAGAUGCAAUGGUAUGAUAUGUAAUUCAUCAUCCUACCAUGAUGUAUAGAAGAAAGAUUUUUUUAAUUUUUGGUCGGACGUAUUAGGUGAUUGCCCAAAUUCUUCCCCAGCGGCCCUAGGCUUUCCCUCCGGUAAAUGUAAUGAUGGUGAGGGUUAGGAGUUGAAGAUGGGUUCUUAAAUCAGUUGUUUAGAUAAAUGGAGCUAUAUUAAAUACUACUACUAUUAAUGUUUUUGUUCUCUCUUUAUGUUAGCUGAUCAUAUAGUGCUGCUGAAUGUGAGCAUUUUUGUGGAAGCAGGUGGGAGCUGAUUCCUACAGCUUUUGUUGAGCAUAUUCUUUUGGGCUGACUAGCCUUCAAUUUCUGUGCUGGGUACAGAUAUGUAUAUAUGGUGUUUAUGUAGUACUCAUCCAUCUUUCCCAUCCCAUCUGGAUUUAGUUCAUUACAAUGAACUCAGGUCAGCACAAUUUUGUCAUUAAUAAUGAUUACUGUAUCAUGAGUAAAUUUUUACCAACUUUAUGGGGAACGACAUACCUCUAGGUCUUUUCACUUUCUAAGCAUAGAUUAUAAAGAUUUUUUAUUUAUUUUAAAUAUAGUAAUUCUUUGUACUGAUUGGACCCUUAUCUGUCCAAACCACUUUCUAAAUUCUAUCUUUACUUCUAAAUUUCUCCGCAUAUAUUUUGACUUUUUAAAGUCAAUUUGUAAAAAUAUAAAAUUGAAAAUUGGCGUGAAUUUGUUCAUGAUAAAUUAUAUAAUUAGUAGUACUAGUUGAUAGCCCGUGCAAUGCACGGGCUAGUUUGAAUAACGGGUUAUAUAAUUUAUUAAAAUUACAAUGAGAAAAAUAUUUUUUUUAUAAUAAGUUAUUUUUAUAUAAACUUUUCAAUAUAUUUUUACAUGACAUUAGAAACAAACAUUCAACAACAUUCAAUUGCUCAAAGUCGAUCACGGACAAAUUGUUAUUUUCCUUCACAAAAAAGUUAGUUAAUCUAAGUCCGGCUUGAAACCCAUAAUCUAAGUCCCAACACUCUUAUGCACAACAAUACAUAUAAUUAUCAACAAAUAAACUUAAAAAGACCAUUCAAGUAUCAAUAUUGUAAGUGAGAGUGUGAGACUUACCAAGUAUUAGAAAAAAAUCAAAAAUAAGUAACCAAAAGGAAUACCAUUUAACUUAACCUGUUAAAAUAAAUUUAGAUAGUUUCAAACAUCAAAAGUAUUAACAAUUUUAGAGAAAUCAAACAAAUUUAAGCAGCCUAAAUCAUAGACUAAUUUCAUGCCCAAUAAUUCAACAACAAAAAUAUAAAUUUACUCUCUGACGAAUUGUUCAGGCUUCUUGAUAACGAAAUUAUCCACUUAGAGCUGUUGUUUCCUUCUAAUUGUCCAAUCUUCAUUGUUUUUCCUUUUCUUCAAAACUACUUUUGAGAUGGAAAUCUAAGAAAUACAAUAAACAAUGUUCACCAUAAGCUGCAAGUUUCUAAGCUUUCUCUUUCCAAAGCAAUGCAUGUUUUAAAAAGUAAAUUGUGAGAAAAACAAUUUGGUAUAAUCCAUUUGACAUGUAUUAAUAAAACCAUAUUUAUUUACAGCCAAGGAACAAUUGACAUAGAUAAAAUAAUCUAGCAAAAAUAAAAUAAAAUACACUGACAUAGAUAAAAAAUUGAAGCCUACGAAAAGAACCUAUAAUAUAAAUCUUCACAAAAACAACAAAAUCAAGCGACUCCUGCAUAUAUCCAGCCACAAUUGAAACAACAUCAAUAUAAUUAAAAUAAGCAUAGUUGCAGAGUUUAUUAAUUAGAAAAGGGGGUCCAAAUGCGUAUUAUAAGAUUAUUUGAUUCUUCAAUAUCACGUAUUCGCUUGUUGUUCAAAUUGGAAUUCCUCCUUGGCAUAUUCGAAUGAUCAUCUGCAAAUCCAUGUGGCCGCUUUGAAGAUGCGGCAGUACCAUUGCCCAUAUGCGACUGUUGUUGCUACUGCUGUUGCUGCUGCAGCGGCAGGGGCAAUUCUCUGUUUAAGUCGGGACAUGUAUAUCUGCUACACUUGCCUGCCCUCCAAUGGAAACUAACCUUCUGUAGUUUAUUGUUGUUUGCAUUCGAAUUCGAUGGCCCUAAUCUUUGAAACACACGCUUACUUCCAUCAACAUCCAUUCAUUAUUAUAUAUAUAAAACUCAAGUCAAUACGUAUAAAAACAAAAAUAAAGACUCAACGAAUUAUUGGUCUAUUUGAAUGUGAAGAAUUAUGUGGAUAAGAUGUGAUCAUCAGAAUAAAAAGGUCGAGUGACCGAGUUUGAUAGUAAUUGAUUGGAUCAAGUGAUUGAUUACAAAAUAUGGAAGCCGGUGAGAUUAUAUAGUGCGUCGGUGAGUAUAUAUAUAUAUAUAUAUAUAUAUAUAUAUAUAAGUGAAAGAAGGAGAAGGGGAAGUGGAAGUGGAAGUGGAAGUGGAAGAGGAAGAGGGGUGGAAGAAGAAACUGAAGUGAGGAGGAGGAGAAGAAGAGGAAGAGACAAAAAUUAAUAUAAGAUUGAUUUGAAUUCAAUUGAUUAAAAGAUUAAUUAAUUGAUUUGAAUUUGAUUUGAUUGAAAUUGAUUUCAAUUGAUUGAAAUCAAUUGCUUGUGGUGUAAAUUGAUUUCAAAUUGAUUUGAAAAGAUAUCAAAUUGAUUUGAAAUUGAUUUCAAAAGAUAGCCUUUGCUGUAUUUAUAUAUACGUAUUGAAAUAUUGAUUUGCUUGCAAUACUUGCACCCGAGUUGUUUAAAAUUAAAUUAAUUUUAUCAGCUUUUAAUUUUAAAAUGUCAUAAAUUGACUUUAACCAAUCAAAAAUAAUUUUUUUUUUAAAAAUAGACAGAGUUUGAAAAGCUCACAUUUUCCUACAUCUGAACUGAAAAGGGAGUGCUUCAAAUUUAGAAAUUUGGAUUACUUUAAUCAAACUUAUAUAUGAAAGUUCAGAUAUUAAAUUUUUUAGUCAGAUUUAGAGUUUUUCUAUCUCUUUGUGAUUUUUAUCGAGGCUAGAAGAAUUGUUUUUACUCACAGUUUUUCUAGUUUGAAUCCAAAUUUUGUAAAAUAAAAAUAAAAAUGGUCAACAGUCUUUUAACAUGUGUCUAAAUAAAAAUACAACCGUUUAAAUAAAAUAUACAAUCUCUAAUUUUAAUUUAUUUGUCUUUUCAAAUGAGUUAAAUUUGAACUCCCAUCCAAAGAUUUGUGUGACAAUGAGUAAAUUUAGAUAUAUUUAAAAAAAGAAAAAGAGUGGAAUAAAUUUGUGAACAUAGGGUUUGGUGAUAUAUAUAUAUAUAUAUAUAUAUAUAUAUAUAUAUAUAUAUAUAUAUAUAUAUAUUGUGUUUCAAAUACUAGUACUUUCUUAAGAUAUAAUAUUGCAUUCCAUUUUUAUUGUAGUUAUAUUAAGUAGUAUUAUACUUCUUUUUCAUGUGUUUUCUUUUUCCUUAGGUAACAAUUUCAUAAUUAAAAAUAUUCAAUUUAAAUUAUUUAAAAUUUAAUUCUAUCUAGUACAUAAGUUUUUCAAACAUCAAUACCAUUUAUAAAAAAGAUUCUCCAUUUAUUUUGUUAUUAAUAAAAAUUUUAGAUAGUUUUACUAUUACAUUCACAGUAUAUUGAUUAAAAUUAAAUACAUUUAUAUUAAUUCUAAAUUUAAACAUAUCAUAUAUUUAUUUUAAAAAAUUAAAAUAACUCUUUUUAUCAAUCGGAUGUAUAAUAAUAUUUACUGAUUUGGGCAUGGAGGGGGAAAAUAUACGAAGUACUUAAAUUAUUUAAUUUAAUAAUAAUAAUUAAAAAAUCAUCGUUAUUUAUAUAUAGUAUAUUUCCAACUUUACCCCUACUUCCGAGGAAAAAGAAAGUACACCAUCCCCUUGGAGAUUGGCCGAAGGAAAGGUCAGCAAGCGUUGUUGCUAUGGAGAUGAAGAUGAUUCAAGCUGCUGCUGCAGCAACAAAUUGCAAUCGUAGCCGCCCCUCCUCCUCCCUUCAAACACUCCUUCAUCUUCAAUUGCCCGCUUUCAGUUUCAGCCCAACUUUCUCUAUCUCCUCUUUUUCUACUAAAAAGCUUCUCAUACCUUUUCCAACUUUCCCUCUCUCUCUAACCCCCACCACCACUCGUCCUACCAACACAGCAUACUCACUCCUCGACGAUGGUGCUUCCGGUAAGUACCCUUUUGUUGUGUAUUUUUAUUUUUAGUAAUUGUGUUUUUUUAAAGCCUGUGCUGGUAUUUUAUGUAGAUUCGUAGAAUGCAUUCCAUCUGUUUGAUAAAAGAACCACAUGAGAAUGCCAUUUGUUAUCACUUGUGCUUAAGCAACUAACUACUUCAUAAUCUAUUUCAAAUUUGAGUUUCUCUAUUCGUUAUACACCAUCCUUACCAAAAUGACAUUCCACUUUUUAAAGCAAGAGUUUUUAAGAAAAAAAUUACUGAGGUUACCAAGAUUGUUUCUAAUGAUAAUGAAAUUAUGUACGUUGAUUUUGAAGGUAAAUUCCCAUUUUGGGAUGCCUCAAGAGGGAAAAGUGGACUUUCAUUUAGGACGGAUGGAGUAUAAGUUUGGUGUUUAUAUCACGUAUAAUUGUUGGGCGUGGGUUCUCACCCAUGAGAUAGAAUUCAAGAUAGAAAAGAAUGGGUUUAUAUACUUGAUAUUAAUCCAAUUAGAAAUUGGGUUAAUGGAAGCAAUAUUGGAAUUGGAGAUUACAUGAAAGGAAUCCAAGUUGAAAAAGGAUUUACUUGUUAGAGUGGUUGGUGACCAAGACAAGGAGAUGUGAUCCCUAAUUUGAUUAGGAAAAUAAAUUGUUUUUAAUCCAUAAUAGGAAUGGAUUAAGAAGAGUACUAUAAAUAAGGCUAUGAGGGAGUCUUAUUUGAUACAUGAGAUAGAGAAGCUUGGUGGUAAGAAGAUACCAAAAAAAUAAAUUGAGAGAAUUACUGUUUGUUGUUCGUGGAUAUCCGCCAUCAUCUCCGUUCAAUUGAAAGCUUGAAGACUUUAUUGCUUGGGGUGUUUUUUUGGUGGUGAAGUUAAUUAGGUUUCUCAACUUAAUUAAAGGUAAAUUUGUAUUAUCUCAAUUUAUUGUGUAACCUCAAGUUUUAGCAUAAAACUUGAGAGGAUUAUUGUAAGUCCAUUAUUAGUGAUAUAGUGGAGAUUCGGAGUUUGACCCGUUGUUUUUACCUCUUAAUUUUAGAGGGUUUUUCACGUAAAUUUGGUGUCUUACUUGUGGAUGGUUAUGUGUUAUUUUUGUUCUCAUAAUUGGUUUUGUUGAUUUCAUAUUUAAUUGCACAAAGACGGAAAAGUAAUUCCUGGGAUAUAGAUUAUUUUUGGCGUACUUUUCCCAACAGUGGUAUCAAAGCUUGGUUAUUUUUGUGGUUUUCUUGUGCGAAUUAAAUGGAGGAUUGGACAGCAGGUUGCAUGAUUAAUCUCAAGGCUACAAAUUAUGCAAUUUGGAAGCCAAGAAUGGAGGAUUUGCUUUACUGCAAGGAUUUAUACGAGCCACUUGAGAACGAUGGAGUUAAGCCCACAAACAAGAGUGACGAGCAGUGGAACAAGAUGAACAGGAAGACUAUUGGUCUGAUCAGAUCGUGGAUUGAUCAAAGUGUGUUUCAUCAUGUUGCCACAGAAACUAAAGCCUAUGCUCUCUGGCAGAAAUUGGAGUCCAUGUAUGAAAGGAAGUCGGCGCAAAAUAAAGCUUUUUUGAUUAGGAAGCUUGUGAAUUCUAAAUUCAAGGAUGGAAACUCCGUUGCAGAACACUUGAGUGAUUUUCAGAGUUUGAUAAAUCAGUUGAGUACGAUGAAUAUGGUAAUUGACAAUGAGAUGCAGGCUUUGUUGUUGUUGAGCUCUUUGCCUGAUAGCUGGGAGACGCUAGUUGUAUCGUUGAGUAACUCCGCUCCUAAUGGCAAGCUAACUAUGGAUACAGUUAAGGAUAGUUUGUUUAACGAGGAACAGAGGCGAAGAGAUACUAUGGUGAUUAGCGCUGAGUCACAAGUUUUUGUCGCACAGAGUAGGGGCAAAAACAAAGGGAGAAACUCUCCUGAAGAUGACAAAUUCAGGGGAAGGUCAAGAGAUAGAAAAGAAGUAAUUUGCUUUCACUGCCAGAAGCCGGGUCACAUAAGACGAGAGUGCAGAUUUUUAAAGAAGGAGCAGUCUAAGGAAAAAGAUGAGGAUAAAGAUUCGAUUGUGUAUCUAUCCGACGUUGAUGUAGCUAUUGUUUGUGAUGAUAAACCCAAGUGUCAUGUUAAUGAUUGGAUUAUUGAUUCGGGUGCUUCGUUCCAUGCUACUUCGCGUGGUGAAAUCUUCACAUCCUACAGUAGUGGUGAUUUUGGCCAUGUGCGGAUGGGAAACGGAAGUGCAUCCAAGAUUAUAGGCAUUGGAGAUAUUUGUUUGGAAACUAACAGUGGUUGCAAGUUGAUGCUGAGAGAAGUCAGACAUGUUCCAGAUAUUCGUUUUAAUUUGAUCUCUGCUGGUAAGCUUGAUGAGAAUGGUUAUAAAAGUUACUUUGGUGAAGGUCAAUGGAAGCUCACCAAAGGGUCUCUAGUGGUCACUAGAGGUAAGAAGGUAGACACUCUUUAUACGAUGCGGGCGCAUGUGAGAGGUGUUGAAGAUGGGGGAGUUAGGCAGAAAAAGGUGUGGUACAAAGCCGUGCGAGAUGGGAGGAAAGCCUUGCAUGAGAACCACAAAAAGAAAGCUCUUCGCUUUAAAUGGGUACCAAAAGUGAAGAAGGAAAGUGAUAGCUCGCAGCCAGGGUACAAAGCGGUUGUGAAUGAAUUUGGCAAGCAAAAAUCUGUCAAGUUUGAGUUAGAUCCUCCCAUUGAGAAGAACCAUGCCGAUGAGACAAAGCCGGACAUGAAGAUAUUUGAAAAUUCCAAGAAGAUUGAGUUGAGCCAAGACUUCGUUGGAAUUAACUCCGAGUAAGGAGUUGUGGUUGGUGAUCCCUCCUCUCAUGGGUUCGGAGGGGGAGAUUGUUGGGUGUGGGUCCUCACCCAUGAGAUAGAAUCCAAGAUAGAAAAGAAUGGGUUUAUAUACUUGAUAUUAAUCCAAUUAGAAAUUGGGUUAAUGGAAGCAAUAUUGGAAUUGGAGAUUACAUGAAAGGAAUCCAAGUUGAAAAAGGAUUUACUUGUUAGAGUGGUUGGUGACCAAGACAAGGAGAUGUGAUCCCUAAUUUGAUUAGGAGAAUAAAUUGUUUCUAAUCCAUAAUAGGAAUGGAUUAAGAAGAGUACUAUAAAUAAGGCUAUGAGGGAGUCUUAUUUGAUACAUGAGAUAGAGAAGCUUGGUGGUAAGAAGAUACCAAAAGAAUAAAUUGAGAGAAUUACUGUUUGUUGUUCGUGGAUAUCCACCAUCAUCUCCGUUCAAUUGAAAGCUUGAAAACUUUAUUGCUUGGGGUGUUUUUUUGGUGGUGAAGUUAAUUAGGUUUCUCAACUUAAUUAAAGGUAAAUUUGUAUUAUCUCAAUUUAUUGUGUAACCUCAAGUUUUAGCAUAAAACUUGAGAGGAUUAUUGUAAGCCCAUUAUUAGUGAUAUAGUGGAGAUUCGGAGUUUGACCCGUGGUUUUUACCUCUUAAUUUUAGAGGGUUUUUCACGUAAAUUUGGUGUCUUACUUGUGGAUGGUUAUUUGUUAUUUUUGUUUUCAUAAUUGGUUUUGUUGAUUUCAUAUUUAAUUGCACAAAGACGGAAAAGUAAUUCCUGGGAUAUAGAUUAUUUUUGGCGUACUUUUCCCAACAAUAAUUUGGGGGUGGGAUUGUUCUAAGACAUUGGUAGAAUAGUAAAGCGUUUGAAUGUUAAUAAUUCUUGUACUAACUAUAGCCUUUUAUUUUUAUUCCCUUAUCAAGGUUCAGCAAUAGAAGUUGCUGAGGUUGAUCCAUAUUUGGCACUGAAGGUGAGACUUUAAUCAAGCCUGAAUUUAAUUUACGGGAUCACUAAUUUAUCACUUAUCAGUGUGAAUGACUUAAACAAAGGUGACAAAAUGUUGAAAAUUACUUUUUUGUUUUGCUACUCUCUCACUCUCUCUACAAGAUGUUAAUAGUGCAUAAAAAGAAACAAUUUUUUGUAUUAUGUUGUAGAACAUAUGUUGUGACACUAAUAAUGGUGUAACAAAUAAUUUCAAAUCUAAUUUUAACUGUUAAGUUUUAAAUUCAGAGCAAAGCUACAGAGAUAGCAUCUGAACUAAGAGGGACUUCCAUAUAUCUUGUUGGUAAGCAACUCUUUCUUAUUACAAUGCAACUUUGGUUAUAUUCUUAUAUUUGGAGUUAGAUAGUUCUUUAAACUAUCAGGGAUAAACAGCAGAAUCAAGACAAGCUUAGGGAAAUUUAUUGCUGAUGCAUUGCGUUAUUACUUCUUUGACAGGUAUAAAUCCAUUCUCAGAAUAUAUGCAGGCAUAUAAUAUUAUUUUUAGAAAUACGGCUGUUCAAGUAAAUUGCUUCGUUUCUUUUGUAUGCAGUGACAGUUUGAUUGAGGAAGCUGCAGGUGGUGACUCUGCUGGAAAAAAAUUUAGGGAGAGAGAUGAGAAGGGAUUUCGUGAGUCAGAGGUGACUGACUAGUACACAAUUCAGUUUAUUGCUUUGCAUCUAUGUUCAGAUUGUUAUAUUCUGUUCUGUAAUCUGGUUUAUUCCACAAUCUGUCAUUUAAAAGCUUCCAAAUGUAGAAAGGUUACUAUUGUACAGACAUCUUUUCUUCUUUUUUUUUGUUUAUAAAUAAAAUAAACGAUAAAUCAGCUCAUUUCGAGUAACAUUCAAUUGCAGACUGAAGUACUGAAGCAAUUAUCUUCUAUGGGUCGCCUGGUUGUUUCUGCUGGAGAUGGUGCAGUUGAGAGUGCAACGAAUCUGUAUGAAUAUAAUUGUUUUUCUGCCUGUUACUCUUCAUGAACAAAUUAAACAGUUAAAAUCGAUUGCUCUUUAAUACUGCAUUUUAGAUCACUUCUGAGGCAUGGGAUUUUGAUAUGGAUAGACCUCCCUUUGGACAUGGUAGCCAGAGAAGCUGUUGAGCAUGGGCUUCAACUUCCUGCAUUAGAAUUAUCAACUUCUGGAUCUUCUUCUGAGGUUUGUUUUUCCACCUAAAUAUUUGACAAAGUCUACAUAUUUUAUGUAAAAUUCACAAGCAUCUCAAUUGCUCAUGGCUUUCUUGGAUUCUUCUGAUUAUAUGUUCACUCAUUGUGAUAAAUGAAAACCAGGUAUUUGCUCAACUAACUGAUCUGUACAAACAAAUGCAAGGUGGAUAUGCCACAGCAGAUGCAACUAUUUCACUUCAGAGUACAUUCCCGUUACUUCGUGCUCAUAUAAUAUUUGCUAGAUCUCCUUUUGGUUCUAACUUUCUCUUGUUGUUUGCAGAAGUAGCUUGGCAGUUAGGGUAUGAUGACUUGGAUGCAGUGACUGUGGAAGACAUGGGUUUGGAGGUUGAAAAUAAAUACCUAUUUAAAACUUAAUGCAUUCUUAUCAUUGUAUUAAAAUUGACAAGUAAACUUUCUAUGGGAUUAUCCCUAUUUGUCAUAAUUUCAGGUUCUCAAGGAGAUAGAAAGAUUGAUGAGAGUAAAGAAGUUGAUGGAAGAGGCUGCAAGACCAUUUUAGCUUAUAAGGGUCAUCUUUUUCAUCAGUUGCAACAUUAAGUUUGGGGUUAGUUCUUUUUUACUUUUGUAUUAACUUCUUCUGUUCAAUUUUAUAUUACUUUUAUUUGAAAAUUGCAUUUAGUUGGCUGCAAUUGUUGAUUAUAUCAUCACUCUGAUAUGUAAAUGGAACUAAACAUAAUUGUUAGUCUGGUGAAUUUCUUCCUUGGAAAAUACAUGAAAGAACAGUUCUUGUUAUAACAAAGUGAUGGACAAUGGUGGAGGUGUGUAAGAAACAUGGCAGGGCAAGGAUAAGACUAGAAGUUGAUUGUGUUGCAUUAAGCUUUGAGUAGGAAAAGCAAACAGAAAAUAUGUGUGUGUGUGUGUGUGUGUGUGUGUGUGUGAGAGAGAGAGAGAGAGAGAGAGAACAAGACUUCACUGUGCAUGAGGCAGUGUUAUAGUCUUUUUAUUUCUGUUUUCUUAGUUAGUUGAUAGCAGUUAGAAGGAGAGGCAAUGUAGGACUAAUUGUUAGAAAAUAGUUAGGCUAUAAAUAGUGGUUCGUUGGUCUGUUUAGUGGACAUAUGGGUUGUAAUAACACAUCUUUUUUUACUUGAAUUCUACUGCUAUCUCUAUCUCAGUCUCUGUAAUCUGUCUGUUUCUCUUCAGUUUAUCCAUCAGAUCUCUCUUCUUAACUAAAUUAUUUUCUAAAUCAGCUCGAACAACUAGAUUACCGCUCUAGGUUUUAAUUGAAGCUCUGUACGGCUCACUCUGCGCCCCCCCAACACACGUGCACAUCAGGGUUGGAUUGAUUGGAGCAAAAAGUGAAGUAAUAUUUGUGUGUUUAAUAGGAAGUUGAAUUAUCUUGUUACGCUGGUAUAAUUUGAUCUGAUCAAUAGACUAAUGUAACAUAAAUAAUUUUGUUGGAAAUUGUCAUCCAGGUACACAGCAAUAAUACUCGAAUCAAAUCUACAGAUCUGCAUGGAGGAGGAGGAGUUGAUAUUUUUUUGGAAGGCAUAAGUUUGUUGCCAAAUCAUGCUAAAUAUAUUCAUGUUUAAAUAGAGUCCUAUUAUUUGUAUUCCAACUGGAGGGCUGAUAUCAAUUUCCAGUUGAUGACUUCUUUUUCGUCCAAUUAAUGAAUGCUAAGCAGUAGAGACAGUUUGCAGUAUUUAAUUCAAAGGUCUUAUCUAUCGUAGUAUGCAUUGUAUUUAGACUAACUUUGAAUAUUACUUGUGUAUAAAAAAUAGACUUAAAUAUAAAUUAUUACUCUAAACUCUUUAUCUUUAUCUCACCAAACUCAUGAAAAUAGUGUUCCCCUAAAGAUAUCAAAUGUGAGAUGAAACAUCAAUCAUCUAAAAAAUAAAGCUGAUACAUGGUGAAGCUCGGUGGUUUAUAUACAAAAAAACAAAAAAAAAGAGGAUCCAAAUUCAUUAUUCAAAAUAAAAAAAAAAAUCUGGUAUUCUUAGAUGAGUUUCUGGCUUUCCGCAGAUGAGACAAUAAUAUAUUAUUUCAUCUGCAACUAAUGGAUGGCCAUGAUGUGCCUAUAACAGAGAGGCUUCUAUAACCAACCACCUAGAAAGUAGCUAGAGAAACUUGUUACCAUUCUAAACAGUACCUUGCACAUUAAGAGGAUAAUUGCAAGUUCAAUUUAGACGAAAUUAAGUAAUCAAUACAAAGAUCGAGUAAUAUCUGUGCUCCUAAAAUAAACAUUUUGUCAGUCUAUGUUAUGUUGUGUAGGCUGAGAAGAACCAAAUACUGUAUAAAAUAAUAGCCUUAGGAUCUUUAAAGAGUUCAGAUAGGGAUCCUUCCAUAUGUAUAGAGAGAAAUCAAUACUAUGCAAAGGCCCUAGUGAAAUUCCUAUGUUUCUCUUUCUUUUAUUUCUUCCCCUUCGUCAUUGGGACGUACAAUUGCUUUACACACAGUACAUGGCCUUCAGUUCUUAGUGAAUUAUCUCGAUCAUUAAAAAUCAAGGCAAAGUUGCACUCCAAGAGGGUUUCAGCUAUCCGAACGCUACACGCUCUUUCUUGAUCGCUGUAAUGUCUACCGAGUGUUCUUCCCGUCCCUGGGGGGGGGGGGAUCAUUUGAUGCACUUUGAUCAGUAACCUAAGUUUCUACAGUGUGUUUAUCAGCCUUUUGUGAAUAAGUAUGGAAAGUUGGAGUUCACCUUUGACGAAGAAAUGAUCAAAGUUCAAAUGUUGGGACUUCAGAUUCAGAGCCGUGUCUCGCAUGGUAAACUAACCGAGGUAGUAUACUCCUAUAUGGGUCAUUUUCUCUUUUCUCCUUUAAAUAUGCAAGGCAUCUCUCAACCUCGACUUCACUUCCAGAUACAGUCCAUGUGAUUUUUCUUUGCUCCUUAAUUCCUGCUUUCUUCCUGCAAUUCAAUAUAAAAGCUGGACUGAGAAUAAAAGAAAGAAUUGAAGAACUUGUCUCAUAAAUAUUAUUUGCAAUGUAAACGUGGUACAAGUAUUUUAGAGCCAGAUUACGAUUUCAAGUAUAUACCAAGUUGAAUGUAUAUACUAAGAAUAUGGUCUUACAAUAAGUACACAGUAUACUUAAAAGUAACUCAGUGUCUCCUAAACUCCUACAGUCAGGUGAGGCAUUGCGUCUUCCUAAGUUUACUCUAUAUUUUUUUCUCUAGCACAAUUUAGUGCUAAAUGUGUGUGCAACACUAGAGUCUGCAACCGAACAGAAAAAGCACGGUUGUUAAGAGUUUGACACCGAAUGAUGUCAGUGGUUUAACACCUAAGCCAUAGUUGAGCCGAGGGAAAAUUGAAGCCAAAACAACCCAGGUGACAUUGCAUGCGAACAUUUUGGUUUAACGUUUGAAGUAGACAAACUCAUAUCUAGUGAAGAUACUUUACUUUUGUCCCCAUUCAAUAUGAUCGGAGAUAAAAUAAAGUCGUAAAAAAUGGGUAGCAGCCAGUCCAAAACUAAUAUAUGAAUUGGGUAGCACACAGACAUUCAGCAUAUUGUACAUUCUCAUUAUUUUGAACUUACCAAGAAGCUUUUCCUUCCUCCCAAAAGGUAUCAAGGAUGGUUCACAUUCACUAGAAAUUAAAAAGGAAAAAAGAAAAGAAAGAUUGCAACAUCAUAAUCAGGAAUCCUAAAGUGGCUACUUCACAAAGAUGAUUUUUAAUUUUAACCACAGACCCAUUAUUACUUGACCAAAAUAAACAAACAUUUAAAGACUCAACUGUAAGUGCGUGGGAUUCUGAGGUAGGGAAAAGAUUUAAGCUCAUCAUACCCAUAUUAACUGAAGGAAUAUGUAAAAUGCUAGAUAGAUAUUCAAACAUGAGGCUAAGUAUGUACCUUCUGUUUCAAUUGGUUUUCCAAGAAAGUAAUAAUAACGGCCAGGAAGUUUGGGUAGCAAUAUUGGAAGGUGUUGUUCUUGCUUUGUGACCUCUCCUACACAGUCAGUUCUAUGAUCACAAGAAUAAAGAACUAUUAAAACAAAUAAAAAGAAUCCAACCAUGAAAACGAAUGACUGAUUAAGAUAAGUAAUAAAACUAGCAUCAACUGUUAUCAAUCUAUAGUAAAAAAGUAUACCUAAAUAUAACACAUAUUAACAAGUGAUAGUCUGUGUGUGUUGCAUGAACAUAAUGCUAAAAAUUUAAUCAACUUCAAAUGGUUAAAUAAAAAAGCAAUUGAUCUCAACUCCACAGUUUUCCACAAUCAUGCAUCGAUUUGAUAUACGUAUUUUCUUUUAAUGUUUUCUAAUUUUAAAAGAUAUAUAGUAUGGAAUUAUGGAUCUUCUCAGUUUGCCUUAUUUUUAAAGAGUCACAGUAAUAUCUAGUAACGUUAGCUUAUAGUCCCUAAUAACAAACCUAUAAGUAAAAACAGAUUUACUAAACAGAAAAAAAUUAAAAAACUGGAGAAAAGUUUUGUACAUAUUAACAGCUUGUUUUAAAGUUAUGCGGGAAGGGCUCAUGCAACUGCAGUGGGUUUGGAAAAGAAAUUGGUCAUCAUUUUGAACAUUUUCUUCCAAUGAUCCUCUUAAUUGAGAUAGGAGAUCCAGUACUUGAAGUAGAAAUCAUUUAGCUUCCAUCAUACAUACUGGAAUCAUGUCAUACUAAAACAGAAAUAUUUUUUUCAACUCAUCUACAUCCAAUUUUUUUUUUCUGGCUUGGCUGGGCCCAGCCGAGCAAAAACCCUUUCAUUAUGAUCCUGUCUAGGCAAAACCAAUAAAGAAAAAUCUAUUCAACAAGAAAAAAAAAAAAAAAAGGAGAGUAAGGUAACACUUAACACCCAAUCAAGUAAUAAUAAAAAGCAGCAUACACUUUAGGUUUACUCAUUUCAAGGGUGUAAAAUCAGGCCCACAAUUUGUACAGUCAAGAACAACCAAAAAAUAGGCAAAUAAAAAUAGAACUUUCUACUGAACCAAGAAGAGAGGAUAAAACAUAACACACCUCAACUUCACAGUCUCUUUAUUUAGUUCCUCAUAGAAAGAUUUAAGAAAGGGAAUCUGCACUUGGUCAUCAUAGUCAAGAAGCAACUAAUUGAAGAAAAAAACAAUUGUCACUCAUCACAUCAUCUCUGACAUUGAAACAUAAUUUUGUCUUCUUUAGGUUGCCCCAUAGAACAACUCUUUUUCAAAAAAAAGUUUAUGACUUUGUAGAAGAAUUUCUUAGUUAAAUUUUUUAAAAAAAAACUCAAAAUAUAUAAUAUUGCCAUAUAAAAAUAAAAAUUCAUGCUUAAAAAGGUAGAAUAAAUUGUGUAGAUUUAUAAGCUAUACUUGAUAACAAAAGCAGAGAUUAGGUAAAAGAAGUUUUGACGCUUACUUGAAAAAUAUCAUCUUCUCCAACAACACCAAAUGGUAUAAUUUUGGCUCCAAAUCUAGCCGCCAUCCUUAUAAACUCAGAAUGUGCCGGCCAGAAUAGCUUGUAUUCCUCACCCUGAAAAAGUAUGAAUAUUAGUCUGAGAUUUAUAGUUCAAAGAACUUUUAGCUCGAGCGACAAAGAAAAAUACUGAUGCUCAUAAAUUUUUGAGCAAAUCAAUCAGUAUAACAGUAGAGCAGAAGAAAUUCAGUAAUUGGCUUAGGUAUCUUUGCACAAUAAGAAAAGGUGAAAACUAAAGUGACAUGAGAGAACUCUUUGGGAAAAAGAACAUGGCUAAAUUUAACUACAUAGAUAGAUUCCACCAGAAUUUUGUUGACUUGGUCAUAUUCCAACCUUAUGUUUUGAUGAUGACUUUCUAUUUAUACUAAAUGUUUACUCGUGCAUUUAUAGGAUAUUAAUGAGAACAAAAGAUUUCUUGAAACCUUGGUUUUGUAAAGAAUUGAAGGCAUGAAGACUUGAAGAUAUGAUUGAGUUAUUAGGAAAUCAAUGUAAGAUCCUAACUUUAAUUAUAUCUCAAUCUAGGCUCUAGGAUUUGUAUUGUAUGAAAAUAAUCGUGGAAGUAAUUAAAGGAGCUAAUUUUUGGAUUGAUUCUUAAAUAAAUAUUUCUUAUCAUAAUAAGUUGUCCAUUGAUUAGUUAAUUGAAAACUUAGAAAUUACUUAAUUGAGUCACCUUCCUUUAUAUCAGAAUCUCAAUUAAGUAUUGCUGACAUGAUUCUAUAUUACCUUUGCUGACUAAAAUCAACUCUGAUCGAAGUGACCGAAGCGUGCUUAUUUCCUAACGGUCACAUAAUUGGGAUUGACAAUCAAUUAAGUACUAUGAUCAUUGCCUAAAUAUCCUUCCUGAUUGAUUGUAUACUCAACGGCUAUAUUCCUUCUCUAUUAUAAAUUGAUCAGCUGAGUUACAAAGUGGAGUAGAGAAGAACAAAAUAUAAACGAAUACUAAAAGAAGGUUGUUGAUUUUUCUAUUGUGAAGAAUUAAAAGGUUGUUGUGCUUCAUCAAGUUAAUAUUAAUUUCAGCUUCGUUUCAUCGCGCUUAAUCUGGUGAUAUCUUUACAUAAUUCAUUGAUCAUUGCAUAUUAAUUGAGCUUUGAAUUGUGAUAUAAUUAUUACUUUGAUCAUAUUUUAAUUUUUAAUCAAUUAUCAAAACAGUUGAUAGACUAAGUGGUUAGUCUAGGGUUUCUAAUCUGGUUAGGAUUAGGGGGUUUUACAAGAAAGCUUAAGGAAGCAUAGGUGCACGGGGAGCAAAGAUGCUUGAGAGCAAAAAUGCUCGAGGAGUAUCUUGUCUUGUAAAGAGAUUUAAUUGUAAACUAAGUUUAUUAAUAAAAGAGUCUCCGAUACUAGUUGGUACCUCUAACCUGUGUUAUACCUUAUAGUAGCUAUAGCUAUGGAUAUAGGCCCUUCUAGGGCCCUUCUAUAGGUCUUUCUAAGACCUACUUUAAAAAUCAUUUGUGUUCAUGUGAUUAAUUGUUUUACUUUAAUUGUUCAUUACAUACUUCAAUUUGAAUUGUAAUUCAUAAUCUUAGUUGAACAUAUAUAUUUCAUCAGAAAAUUGUCGAUUUCAACUCAGGUCAUUAAUUAGUAUAAGUAAAUAAAUUUACAAAACUGGGACAAUAAACUGUUUUCUGUUAAAUUUGAUAAAUCGGUAAUCUAGCAAAAUGAAUUCAUAAAUACAACAUACCACAUUUUCAAACAGAUUUUUUUUUUGACAUAUUUCUUGAAUUGCAAAAAAUUGAUAUAGUUUGUUUCCACACUUUUUCAACCCCCUUCUAAGUGUGCCUAUUUGAAUUUCAAAUUUAAGGUCUACCAACAAUUAGUUCAAAUGAUUUCUCCAUAACAUACACUCUCUCCAUUCCAAAUUACAAGAUCGCUAUUGAUUUUCUAAAAGUCAAUUUGAAAAAUUUUCAAACUCAAAAUUGACACGAUUCAUUUAAGUUUUGAAAACAAUAAAUUAUAUAACUAACAGUCCUUUUUAAGUAGUUUAUGAUAUUCAUAAUUGUAUUGAAAUAAAUUAAAUGAAUUCAUGUCAAUUUUGAGUUUGAAAAUAUUUGAAGUUGACUUUUAAAAAGUCAAUAUUGAUCUUAUAAUUUAGAACAUAUGUAGUAUAACCGUUGGGACAACAACCAUAUCAAUGUGUCUUUUAAUUCAAAUGAUUUAUCCUAUAAAUAGAAGGCAAGUCAAUGGAAUAAUUAAUGAGAAAAGAAGCAUCAUCUGUAAGAUGUGGAUUAAAGCAGGAUAUAACAUUAACUCUUACCUUUCGAUGAAGAGCUUCACGCACGCCUCCUGGAUACAGCAGGAUAUGAGAAUUUAGAGAGAAGAGUUUGUAAAAAUUAGUUGCUGAUACAGGAACUGCGCCCAUAACUCUGACAUAAUCGAAUGAUGAUAUAUGAGGCAUAUUUCCUUCUCUCAACUUCGAAAACAUCAGAGGAUGUGCUAUCGCUCGCAAAAGUAUAUUUCGAUUGACCCAAAAACGGGAUACCAGAGGAUAUGAUUCGAACCCCAGCAUUGUGUGAUUACCAACAUAUAAGACUGGGCCUUCAGAAGGAAUCCCAGCGAGGCCCCUCACAAUCUUCCCAUUUUCUAAAGUUGACAGUAUCACAGGACUAACAACCUUCUCUAACCAGCUAAAUUUCAUCAAUAUUGCAAAGACAUUUUAGAUUAUGUUGAAGAUACCCUACUAGAACUUGACAAAUAACAAAAUAUCCUCAGAAGACAAUAAGGAAGGAAAUCAGGGUACAGAAUCAAGCUAGCAAUGACAAUGUUCUCCCCAGGAAUAAGAUAGAAAUCAUUGGAAAAGACGGUAUGAGCAUGGCUACAAUCAAAUCCCUUUAUCACUGGUAAAGCAUAGUAUUUUGGUUUCAUAAACAUGAAUGUGUCUUUCAUAGAUAUGAUCUAAUCCAAUAUAUAUGCCUCUAGUCACAUGUCAGUUGUCACCAAUAGAUAAACAAUUACCAUACUCCCUCCAUCCUAAAUAAAGAAUACCAUUUCUUAAACUAUUUUUUUAGGACAGAGGGAGUAUAAUAUUUCUCAGUCUUCUCUUUAUAGGAUUAUAGUCGAUACUUUGUUUGAAAUUUCAGUUACCUGUUAGAUUCAUAUAUUUUCUUGAAUUCAGAAGGGCUUGGUGGCAAGUAAUCUGAUGCAUAGUCAUGAUAUGCUGUGCGACGAUAAAAACUGGCACUGGUUAUGAUAGUUACCAAAUCAUUAGCAGGUUCCUGUUAGAUACAUGCAGAUUUUACCGUGCUAUUAACAACUCUUGUAGGAUGAAAUAUUGAGUGAAAUUUCCUACAUCCCUAACUCAAUAAAAAAUAUAACUAAAAGGGCAUUGAACAUUGAAACAAUGCAUAAAUUACAGCUAGUAUCAAGAGGAAAAUGUUCUUGUGUUUGAAACUAAGGUGGUGUUUGAAACACGACUUAAAUGUAAAAGAGUUGUUUGAUAACUGAUAUGUAUAGUAUAUUUGAAUACAACCUUUUACUAUUUUACCCUUAGAUCCGUUUAUACAAACUUAGGGUGGGAUAAUAAUAUAAUUAUAUAAAAUCACCAACAAUGUAUAACUAUUAAAAUAUUUUAAGUUUAAUAAAACAUAAUAAUAAUUAUGACAGUUUUACAUAAUUAUUAUAAAAUAUGGCGGUGGUGGUGGGUGGUGGNNNNNNNNNNNNNNNNNNNNNNNNNNNNNNNNNNNNNNNNNNNNNNNNNNNNNNNNNNNNNNNNNNNNNNNNNNNNNNNNNNNNNNNNNNNNNNNNNNNNNNNNNNNNNNNNNNNNNNNNNNNNNNNNNNNNNNNNNNNNNNNNNNNNNNNNNNNNNNNNNNNNNNNNNNNNNNNNNNNNNNNNNNNNNNNNNNNNNNNNNNNNNNNNNNNNNNNNNNNNNNNNNNNNNNNNNNNNNNNNNNNNNNNNNNNNNNNNNNNNNNNNNNNNNNNNNNNNNNNNNNNNNNNNNNNNNNNNNNNNNNNNNNNNNNNNNNNNNNNNNNNNNNNNNNNNNNNNNNNNNNNNNNNNNNNNNNNNNNNNNNNGGUGGGUCAGGGUUGAGGUUGGGGUGGGCGUUGGGUAUAGUGAGAGAAGUGAAGUGAAAAAUUAAAACAAAAUGAAAUUAGAGUAAUGAAUAGCCUCGAUCAUUUUUUUAAGAGGCAAAAAGAGGUUGAAUUUUUUUUUAUCAAACAACUUUAACCUCUGAACGAAAAAGAGGCAAGACCAAGAAAAGGCUAUCAAACAGCCUCUAAAGCUUCACAGUGUGGUUUAUAUUUAAGCCCUUCUCAACUAUUCACAAAUAAUACUCCCUCUCUUUUAAAAUAUAAGACCAUUAUUGACUUUGGUAUGAAAACUGUGGUGUUAUUUGACUAUUUGCUUGCUCAUUUUUUUAAUUAACUUGUCUUUACAUACAAGUCUAGCUUUGUCUACUUGCUAAUUUGGGUCCUGAUAGGCUGAUACCAUUGUAGUAUUCAUAGUUUAUAUAUUCCAGUUGAAGAAUCAACAAGUGUGAUGCCUUCACUAAGGCUGCUUAAUAGACGGAGACAGGGACGGAGCUAGCCUAGGUAUUGGGGGCCUAGGCUACGCCACAAUUUUCAAAGGUUUAUUUUACAACCUUGAAGUUUUGAUAUUUUUACUUUAGGCCCCCCAAGAUUUAUAUAAUUUGCACACUUAUCAUAAAGAUAUUUUAGUUAGUUUCUAACUAAAAUAACUUUUGUGAUGCUAAUAUAUAUUAUAUAAACCUCUUGUAAUAAAUUUCUAUCGUGUCAUAUUAUUUCUUGGCUCCCCUUGAAUUUUUUUGGCUUCGUCCCAGGACAGAGAGAAAAAGAAAGAGAAUCUAUCAUACCAAGAAGAAGGCAUGACCACUGUCAUUAAAUGUUCGAAUCUUACAGUUCGGCAGAAUAUGCCGAAGUCUUUCUCCUUCCUCUAGACUUGGUAGCAACUGAUCCCUGCCACUGCAAAGAUUAACAACAAUGCAAACUGGUCAGCUUUAGAAAUAUAGCAAGAUCAGGAACUACAAAAACCAUGGCAAUUGUAGGGUAACACAAUGAAAAAAGGAUACUGGAAGAGAAGAAGAAAAGUCUGAUAUAUGCACUCUUAUACAAUUACCUAUUAAAAAAUAAGAAAAUUUCAAAGAGAGAAACUGGAAAAACGUGAGCACAACAACGUUAUGUUAUUUUGCCACUCGGUUUUUGCCCAUCGAUGAAAAGCAUGAAUAGUGAAGGCUUGGGCAUUUAUCUCUUAUGGCCUAACAUAUAAGCUGUAAUUGGUGAUAAUUCAUACAUUUUUAAUUACCUAAUUUUGUGUACUUUAAUAUUUUUAUAAAUUUAAUUAAUUAGUUUUUUUUUUUGCAGGAAGUAAAUAAAUAAAUGAAGUUGAGUUGAAAAAGGAGUUUCAGAAGCUUACUAGUUGAGCAAGAAAAGAAUACUUGGAAGAUAGAGAUAACGAGAUUGAGUUUAUCUAAGAAUAUUGAAAAAAAUUGACCAAGUUUAUUGUAACUAUAUUGGGGAACAAGUAAUUUGCGUCUAGGUCUUUUAUUUUGGAGUGAGAAUUAUUUAUUAGUUUAGGUUAGGAAGAGUAGUAGGAAUAAAAUUAAAUUACUUUUCCAUUGUAAGCUCGUCGAAGAAUUUUAAAUAAAGGGACUUUUCUUCAUGUCAACUAAAUUCUUUAAUCUAGUAUGAAGAUGAAAUUAAAUAAUUAUUCAUGACAAUAUUCUUCAUCUUUACUAUUAUUUGCGCUUUAAUGUUUACUUGAUUUCACCUUCAUUUUUCAGUAUUGAAAUACCUUCAUUUAUAAUUCCUAUUCCUAUGUAACUUUUAAAACAAUUAAGAGGUUUUUAAUAGAUUAUUGUUAAUGUAAAUUUUUCAUAGUUUAUACUUGUCCAUAUUAAUUAUAAACUUAUUACAUAAAAGGAAAGAAAAAUCAAAACCAUAGUAAAUUUUAACUGGAUUUAAUUGAUUUAUUUUCCGAAUUAUGUACACCAAACCAGUGUCAUAACUUGAGUUACAUAAUAGAAGAGAUUGAAUUAAUUGUAAUGUUUAUUGCUUAGUGGAUUCGGAUUCCAAAUUAUUUUUUCAUUAUUAAUUUUCAUCCUCUAAUUAGUUUAUUUAUUGUUUCAAUUUUAGUAAAUCAAUUCUCCAUUUUUAUUUCUGAUUUACCUGAAAUACAUAUUAAGAAUAUUUUAAAAUUAAUCUAGUCUAUGUGGUUCUACCUGUACUUGUCAGUUCUUUAAUUUGACGUUGUACACUUGCUUACAUAAUACUUUCACAUCAAUAGGCAAUGGAUUUAUUCUUUAAGGAAAGGUUUAAAUUAUGAUAUCAACCCAUGAUCGUCUCUUGAUUGACCAAAAUCCAGGGUCAUGAGUAACUCAACUGAAUGACUCCCAGUUGUGAUCUCUAGCAAAAAAAGAUGGUCACAUUAAAUCGUGCUCAUAAAUUUAUUAUGCACUUUGGAAUCUCUAACCUGUAAAAUGAGACCAGAAGCAGAGGCAUUCCUACCACUAAUAACCCACAUAAUAAUUUGAACUAACGAGAUAAAAGGACACCACUAUAAAGUAUUACUAGUAUAGAUAUCAUAAACAACUUAUUAAAUUUAGAACCAAGAUCUCAAGCACAGGAAGCAAUGAUUUGAUAGGAGAACCAAUUGCAGAUUUUGCUAUUUCAUUGUAAGGGGCAACUUAAAGAUGAGACUUCACAGAAAAAUGCUAAAUAUAGUUGGCUAAAUAUCUUUAAUUAUCUGAUAAAUACAUUCGUUGUUCUGGUUGAGGUUAUUUCCUCCCCUGUUUCAUUAAAUGAAAAUUUCAAUUGAAUAUUAAGCAAGAAGCUAGUUCUUAGAGUAGUUGGUAGGUUAACUGUUGAAGUAGAAGUAUAAACAUCAAAACUCCACAAAAAUUUACCAUUGUGAUCAAGGACACUACUAAAGGCACUAGUAAUAUAAUCUUGGUCUAUACUUUGUGGUAUGAAGCAGCCAAGGGGUUCUUACAAUAAGCUCUUCAAGAUAGAGGUGUUUCCACUAGUAAGAUUCUACUACGUCUAUUGAGGCUGAUAUUCAAGAAGUAACAUAUAUAUAUAUAUAUAUAUGUGUGUGUGUGUGUGUGUGUGUGUGUGUGUGUGUGUGUGUGUGUGUUCAAUUAAAAAUUAAAAGGAACUAAUAAUUAUGUCAUAUUUUGGCAAAUAAGUUUUCAAUCUGAUCAGAUUGGAGAGAGGAGAGAGAGAACCUGGAGAGUACUAGAGUCUGAGAUUUUACAGCAUGGAGACAUGAAUUGGCAUAUGCACAAGAUGAUUUAACCAUCUUCAGCUUCCAGAGAAGUGAUUCCGCAGAUAGAACAUCUGCCAUGACCUGGUAUUGAUUAAACUGGAGCAUUAAGAUGGAGGAUACCAGCAACAGAGAUUUGAAAAUUGAUCAUAUCGAAGAUAAAUCCUAGCAAGUCUUCCUUAUAAGAUUUAGUAGUAAGAUAUAUAUUCCAAGGAGGACAAGGAAACAUAGAGUUUGAUGAUUUGAUUACAUGUUUUCUCAUGUAUUAACAUGUUACAUGUAGAAUCCAUCACAGAAAAUGUGAAGAACAAAAUUUUUAGUGUUAUGAGAACUGUGCCAAAAAAAUACACACUUUUAAACAUAUAUAAAGAAGAAGAAAUUAAUUAUUAUAGCUCAACGGCAUGUUUAAUAAGUGAAUCUUACAGAGAGGUAGGAUGACAAUGCUACAAUAUCAUCAGAUAUCUCUCCAAUUGUUUGUUGCAGGGGAAGUCCUUUCUCCAGACUAGCCAUCACCAUCUUCGAUUGGAUAUCUAUAUAUAAAAGUGAAUAAAUAAAAUUACCUACUUAAUUUGGAACAAAAACCAAAUAAAAAAUUUCACUGCAUCUAAUGGAAUCAAUUAUAAUAUGCAUCACCUUCAGAAAAAAGUGGCACACAGUUUCGAAAGAAUCCUACAGAAGCCGAAGUUUAUAUCAGUUUCUCUAUAGGCUUAAAUAUAAAGUGAAUACUGCCUAGUUGAUCUAAGGUCCAUCUUUUCUAAAGCAAUUUCCAAGUGUCUUUUUAAAGAUCACGAGGAACUGGUCCGACAACAUUUCUCUUUAGUUAUUUGCUUAAUUUCUAUAGUAAAGGUUUAUGGAAGUUAAACAAUCUGAGGCUUAAUUUGUUCAGGAUUUCCCUUAGGUCUGUUCAUCAAUCAAGCCACCCCAGCCAAAAAAUAGUUCAAAAUGUUUUCUUGAAUAGCAAAGCUUAGGCAACAAAAUGCAGGGAACAAAAAUUGCUUAGCAAAAAGGAGCUUGCACUUGUAAAAGAAUGAGGAAUUUAUACUUUGACUCUUUUCUUUUUAAGCUGAGGCACGCACAACCACUACCCUUCGGGUGUGCACUGUAAACCAAUGGACCCAAAGUGUUUAUGCAGAGUAAAGAAUGAGUAAAUUUAAUCCCUGCCUAUGCAUUUUAACAAUUAUAAACCAAAGAAAGUAAGUUUUUUGUUCCUUACGCUACUGCCAAAAGAAACAUAAGAUCUCAUAUAUAUAAAAAAUCUACACACACAAAGUAAUACCUGUGACUCGAUUGGUGAAAUAUUAUCUUUCCCCAAAAAGUUUUUUUUUACCAGACAUACAAUUUUUUGUUGUUGUGAAUGAACAAGAUUUUGAGAAACUAUUCAUGCGUAAAAUCAUAAUUAUUGAUUGCGUUAGAGAAGUAAAACACCAGAGCUUCUAUGCAAAGACCUUAUCUGGGUGUUAUUUCAGACAUUAGCACAGGCAACCAAACUUUAUCAUCAUAUCCAAUCAACUAAAGUUAGGCAGAUUUUUGAACUGGCUAAACCAAGUGUACCCUGCAGAUUUGCCUGAUGCUGCCCUGCCCGCUGCCGCCUGCCGCCUUCUUCUUCGCACUACAGGUCUGCAACAGCCAACAGUUAGGUUUUUUUUUAAACUUACAUGAAACAACGUCGUUUCAUUUAGUAAGUUUUUAAAAAAACCUUUUCUUUUCUCUUCAAAAUCGCAUCAACAACCCUUUUUUUUCCCUUCCGCCGACCGCCUCUCAAGUCUCAGCCUCUGUGGCUCUGCUAUCCUUUCCCUUCCAGUCUUCCUCCUGACUUAGUGCCUUUGCAGCUUUGCUUCUCCCUUUCUCUCUCCAGGUUAAGCCAUUGAGGUCAGUGAUGUCAAUUGUCACCCCUUAGGCCCUUCUGUGUUUCUUUUUCAUAUAUGUUAAUCUCUGUAUGUGUCUACAAAUAAGUAAUUUUGUGCUUAAUUUUGCCAUUAAAUUAGAGAUUUAGAGUUUGUUAUGCCAUGAAUUAGAGAUUAUGUGUUAUUUUCAUUGAAUAUUUGAAUUAAUAUUGUACAUUUAUCAAUUUAUGGUAUAUUUAUGAUAUAUUGUUUGUGAAAUAAUUGAAAUUAUUGAAUUAGGUUAGUUGAUAAAAUUAUGAUGAAAUGUUUGAAUUGAUGAAUGAUGAAAUUAUUAUGAAAUGUUUAAAUUGAUGAAAUUAUUGAUUAGCAAUUAAUGUUUUUAUUUAUUAUAGAUUAUGGAUAAAUACUUGAUUCCGCCACUGAAUGGAUCAUCCCCAUCAGGGUUAAUAAACAAAAAAAAAUUACUGAUGUAUUUUGACCCCCCUUUAAAAACGUUAUGGUUCUGCCACUGGCUAAACUGAUGCAUUGUGAGCUCUAAUUGGAAGCAAUAACAUAAUGAAGCAAGGACUAAAGCUUAGAUAGGAAUUUAAUAACUAUUUCAGAACCUGUCAUUAAGCUCAGCAUAUAAGGCACACCAAAAUGGACUCUCUCAGGCAUGAUUUCUAAUAGAGGAAUUAGCGGUUGCAGUUGGGACUUGCUGAAAGAUGUAGCUGCCAAGCAAGAGUGUUAUGCAAGAGGAUCAUGAAAGUCGAGAUAUUGAUCAAUGUCUAAGCUCCCAUGAACAUGAUUAUUCAGAAGAAACAAACUUCUCACCUGGAUUAGCCAGUAUUAAAACAAGAUCAAUAUCAGGACAACGGGCUGCAACAGCUAGUGCUAGGCACCCCCCAAAAGAUUCUGCUACCAGAUAUAUGGGCCGAUUUGGUGAAUGGUAAUGUUCAGAUCUAACAGUUCUUUCAACCAGCUUAACCAGCUCUGAACCAUAAGAAGUAGAAAAAUGUGAAAGAUUAGCAUCUUUCCCUUCACAAAAGGAAAAGAGUAACAUGGAAACUAAUCUCAAUAAACGAGUUUCAAUUUCAAAUUAUUGCUAAAGUAGGAUUUGGGUACUCCCAGGAGUUGUGUAGCCCACAUUCCAAUGAUCAGAGCACCAAACAUCAAAAAUCAUUAUCUAAAAUCUAAGAAAUGAGGUUAGUUACCACAUGAUAAGAAAUUGUUUUUGGCUCUUUAGAUUUGGCCAUGGUUCAAAUAAACAUAACUUGUAGACCACCUAAAAUGAUGGCCACAUUAGCAGAACUCCAAGAAUAAGACGUUUAACUUGGAAUGUCAUGCCUUCUUAUCUUCCAUCAACUCCUCUUUGAAGCCACUAGAUAAAAGUAUUGAAAAAGGUGAAGUAUGAACCGUGCUAGCCCAAUAUCUUCAAUUACAUAACUAAUCGGUCAAGACAACCCAAGGCUCCACUUUAAUGUUCAAUAAGUAUCGGAAAUCCAUCUAAGGAUGACAAGGUGUUAUUUAAUUCAAUACAAGUGAUGCCAUCAGAUUCUACCAACCCUGUAUAAGCCCCGAGUGUGAAAUAAAUGUGUGAUACAGAGAGAGAGAGAGGACCUGGAAAUGAUGUUCGGUCAUCAAUAGGAAUAUGCAAGCACCAUAUAUCAAAGAUCCUUCAUUUGAGGAAAAGAAAAACACGGAUUAGGCAUAACUACCUAUCAUAUUAAACAAUUAAGUCAUUAAACUCGAGAGUAUUAGUAAUUAUGAUAGCAUAGCAACGACAAUCUACGUUAUGUGUUCAGAGCUUCUUAUAUCUUAUAUUUUGGUCUAAGAAUGAUUAUAAGGAGCAUUUAGCUUCACAUAUACUUACUGUCCAAGUCUUUGGAAAUGCAGAGUAAGGCUGAGCCCAACACCAUCAAUUGCUGCAAGGUUGAAAUUGAUAUCUUUUAAGAUAAAACAAAAUUUAUUGAACAAAAGUUAAGAAUGUACCCAACCCACAAAAAAACAAGCCACUAUAAGCAUAUCUGUUUUGUUUAUUAGCUAAAAUUUCCAUUCACAUCUUUAUAAUUUAUGCGCAUAUACUUUAUUAUAAAAACUAAAACUACAUAUCAGUGUCAUACUUAACUUAUAAUAGUAUAUGUCUAUAUCGAUAAAGCAGGUAAUUAAUCGUAUUCAAUUGACUUUUUACACCUUUAUCAAAAAGAGGAACUUUUUCUGCUAAAUGAUUGCUCACAUGAUAGGAAACACAAAAAAUGAAUGUGGAUUCAACUAUUUCCCCAUUUUUUGCUAGCAAACGUUUCGCGAACAAAAUUUAAGAGACGGAAAAAAGAGGUAGGAAAAAUAUUUUUAUUUUAAGAAAAAAAAUAAUUGAACCCGGAAGAGAUAGCAAGAGAGGGGAGUUAUUCAAUCGAGAGGCGCAUUCCAAGGGCGAGAACCACCGAGGUGGUCCGCCGUCCGGUCGGAAUAAAUAUUCCGACUGUUCAAAGUAAUCCUUCAAGCUCAGACUCCUGACUUCUGAAUCUUCGUAAUGUUUAGUUAUGGUGUCAAUUUCAGAGUUUUUCUUCAAAGUUCCGUUCUGCCAAGAGACAAUACCGGAACUAGCACUAGCUUUAGCCGUUGACGACACAAUUGACCGACGACUUUUGCCGGACUCCAAAAAGUAUACCUUUCUUCCAGGCAGGAUGCUACCGGUAGGCUGAGAAGUGCCGGCGGCAAAAACGGCUGGUGAAGUAGUCUCCAUGUAACAAGGUUAGGGAGUAUCUACCAAGACUUCCUCGUCUCACUCUAGCUAUAGUUUGCUUUCUAACGGAUCCGGUUAGUAUUAGUUGGUCAAUUGCUAGAAUUUUUUUUUAAAAUAACGUCAGUCACAUAAAAAAAUAAAUAAAUAAAGGCAUGUGCAUACUGCGGGUCAUAGAAACUCCCAUUAUAUAUGUGUACGUAAGCAUUGUAUGAUAAUAAUAUUUUUUAAUUUUUUUAUCAGGAGAUACAAUUAUUUGAAAGCUAACAAAUUUUAUUAUAAACUUAAUUAUAAAAUAAGGUAAAGAGAUAGGUUAGAAAUACAUAUAUAAUUAUGAGAAUUAUUAUCUAAAAUGACGUCGUUAUAUACAAUUGAUUUAAAAUCAUACAACAACUUGAGAUAUUUCUCACUCUCUUAUUCACAUAAAAUAAUAGUACUAUUUAUAUUCCAACUCAUUCUAACUUCAUUUUAGCUAACUUGACAAUCUUUGCUGACAACCGUAAUAAACUUUUAACAAUUUAAUAAUGCAUUUAUUUUAAAAUUAAGGAUAUAUUAUUAGACGAUAAUUUUAAGUUUUUUUUUAUAAAUAUAUUCAUAACAUUUGUUAGAAUUAUGAUAGUAUUUUUAUACGAAUUAUCUAUAAAUUAAUGAUUUUACACUAUACAAUAAGUUGAUAACUUUAUAUCUUUAGAGAAAAAUCAAAAUUUUGAUUGUACUAACAAAUAUGUAAAAUUAUCAUUAUGAUACGAUCGAUCAUUUAUUGUUAAAAUAAUUAAAAUUUCUUAUUUUUUUCUUAAAAUACAUAAUUGAAAAAUUCAAUUAAAUAAUAUAAAAUUAUUAAUUUAUCCACACCGUCCUUAUAAAUUUUAUUCCUCUAAUAUCUAAUCUACUUAAAAUAUAAAUAAUAUCAUGUAAUCUUUCAUCAGUUUAUGUAACGGCAGAAUAUUUUCAAGGAAUGAUGAAUGAAAAGUUAUUUGCAUACAACAAUUAUUAUAGGUAUUAAUGUUAUGGGAUACUCCCUCCCUCGUUUUAGAGUUGUGCACAUGAAAUAAAAAAAUAAUUAAAUAAUAUAUCAAAUUAUCAAUUGUCUAUAAUAAAAAAUAAUUUUAAAAAUAUUAUGAUUAAUUUUUCUAAAUUAUAUAAAAUGACAAAUAAAAUUAUCUUAAACAUCAUAUAUCAUACGAGACAUGAGACAAUAUAACAAUGUCUUGAAAUAUGUAUUUCUUCACCUCAAACAUACAUAUUUGGUGCCAUGACCACAUUAAAUACAUCAUGAAUAUCACGAUCGUAACAACUUUAACACUAUAUAUCUGGAUUACUUACAAGAAUUUGGAACUUAAUUACUCCCUCCAUCCAAAUUUAUUUGUCCUAAUUUCUUUUUUUAAUUGUUCAAAUUUAUUUGUCAUUUUUAAAUACUAUUUUUAACAUUAUUUUUUCAAAAUUACCCUCAUCUAACUUGAAAAAAAAUCAUUAAAAAUAACAUGACAUACAUUGAAAAAUAUAAUACUAUUAAUUUUGAUGUUGAAAACAAAGUCAUAUUACUUUUUUCCCUUUCUCUCUCUCUCUUUUUUAUUUUAUUGUUUCAAGAAAGAGUUAGAAUAUUAAAUAAAAAUAACAUACUAGUAGUAGUUAAAAUGGGUAAUUUAUAGAUAAAAACUUUUUUCUUAAUUAAUAGACGGAUACUUUCAAAUUAUGACAAGUAAACUUGAACAGAGAGAGAGUAUAAGUUGUGAAUUUGAAAAAAAAAACUGUUGAAUCUUGUUGACAUGCAUGUUAUUUAAUUCAUUUUUAGUACUAAAAAGUUACCAUUUUUAAUUAGUUUUAAUGAUACAAAAUGAUUCAUUUUUUAAAACUAAAAUUCUUAUAUGGUAAUAUUCCAUAAUAUCGAUUUAUUGCAAAAUAAAGAAUGAGAUGAGAAGAUACCCACUAAGUUUGUAAUUUAAGAAUUACUAUAAGAGAAUAAUAUUAUCCACAAUCAUUUCCCCAAAGAGGUUGAUUUCCAUAUUAAAUUGCAUUUUUUUUCCAUAAUUUCGAACUAUUAUCCGUAUACAGAAUAUAUAUCAAUAUAUUUAUAAGUCAGAAUCCCGUGAGGGUUCUCAUUCUAUCUAUCUAUCACAUAUUCACAUCUCCACUUGUUGUAAAGGAAACCAAUGGAAAUUGAUAUGGGAAAAGAGCAAAUUAGCCAGAGUCAGCCAAGCCCACCCCAAAGAGGUUUCAACACAGCCCAACUUAUUCUUAGAAUUUUGGUCACUUCAUCCACUGUAGCUGCAAUCAUUUUAGCAGUCACCAGUGCCCAAACACUAGUUUUGGGCUUUGGGUUUAGUUUCCAAGCCCACUACUCUUACUCUUCCGCUUUCAGGUUAGUUUGAAUUCAGGACACUCAAUUUCAAUACCAAAACCAAGACUUGGCCAAACAUAGUUAGUUUGAAUAUAUAGAAGAAGAAAACAAGAUAAACAUGCAUUGUUUUGCAGGUUCAAAGUAGUAGCAGAUGCAGUUGUGGGUACUUUCUCUCUCCUGUCACUCGUCUUUGUUUACGCGUUUACACGUUCAAAAUGGAACACCAAUUACUAUUUCUACAUUUUCCUGCAUGAUCUGGUAAGCAAAUUAUGUAUAUCUCUGAUCAUUUGCAAACUUUAGUUUUCUUUCUUUGUUGUUGUUGAUAUUUUAUACUCCCUCUUUUACAUCUUUUUAUUGGCAAAUAUAGUAUGAAAUGGCACUAUAUAUAUAUAUAUAUAUAUAUAUAUAUAUAUAUAUAUAUAUAUAUAUAUAUAUCCUCAAGUUGCCAUGCAUUAUAAUUCUAUCAUUACUGAUAACUUAAUUUUUGAAUGAAAUUGAUUCUUGUGACAGGUUUUGCUGCUGUUGAUUAUUUCCGGAUGUACAGCAGGAACCACAGUCGGAUUUGUGGCUCGUUACGGGGAGGAAAAGAUAGGUUGGCCGGCAAUUUGUAACCAUGUCGCAAAAUUCUGCCACAAAAUAACUCUGGCAGUUGUAUGCUCAUACUUGGCUCUCGUUUGCUUGUUGAUUCUCACAAUCAUGUCUGUCUCUAAACUUAAGUCUUAGGGCCACAGAGAAGAAACUGGCAUACAACACUAGGAAGGAUUCCAGGAAGAAAUGCUACAAUAAAUAAAAUUACCAGCAGGCCAAAAGAUGUUUUUCACAGUUUUAUGUAGUGCUAAAUAUUUCACAGUUUGUAAAGUUCUUCUAUCAAUGAACAAUUCUCCUAUAUAUUUAUUAGCAUGUUCUAUUUACAACUUUACAGUAUGAUGAAUUGAUGAUUAUACUUUGAACUCAUAAUAUUAAUAGUGUUUAGAUAUUGGAGGUAAUACACAAAGCAAAUUACAAAAUACUUGCCAUCUUUUAGCAAUGUGUAUAUAUAUAUAUGACUAAUAUAAGAAUGCACAAAUUACAAUCACCUGAGGACAGCACCAGGUGAGCAAUUCAUAUGGGAGAUAUAAAACAUGUACUAUUUUGCUUGAAAAGCAAGGAGUAAAAGGGAAAACAGAUCAAGUAUCAGUUAGUUUCCAUCUCGUCUUCACUAUCGAUAAGGUGCUCCUUAAGGGUUUGAUCCGGCAUUUUCCAUUUUUCACUGUCCCAUGCUGAACUUGUUUCUGGCAAUUCGAAAUCUUCUAGUUUUAGUGAUAACUCAAAUUCAGGAAGAUCAGGCAAGCUUUGUAGUCCCCUGCAUCAUAUUGGAGUGAAAAAUUUUGUCGCCUUAAAUUACAUUUAUCUCUUAAGAAAUGUGUGUUAGUAAGGUUUUGAAAUGAGCUCAGAUUACUGAAAAGAAAAAAUUGAAACUUCAUUGCCCCUACUUCUCUUUGUCUAAGAGGUAGCCAUACAUCUGAGACUUCCUAGAUGCAGUCCCAGGAAUAUUCUUAUUUAAAUGCUUCAUUGCACCCCAAAGUGGAGGAGCCCUUCAUAGAAAAAUAAAAAUAAAAAUCACCGGAAUAAUAAUAGAGAAUGUUCUUAAUGACAUAAAAGUAGAAAGAAAUGAUUUACUGAACGCAGAAUCAUAUCCGACCUGGUCACAGGAGCUGCAAGGCAAAAGCUUAAACAGGCCUUCUUGCUCUCAGCAAGAAGUUCUUCUGCAGCAAGGAAGCAACAUGCAGAAGUAAUGUGGCAGGAUGGUUCAUUACCCUUAUCGAGGAUCAGGCCGUUAUAGUAGUAAGCUGCCGCCUGAAAAUGGUACACAAAUAUUAGUAUCAUUUGAACAAAAUAAUUGAAGUAGAGAAGUUUUAGAGCUUGUAUGAGUCAGAGAGCGAUGCACCUUUGCUUCAAGGUAUUUCCAUUUGAUGAACAAAGUAUGCUUCUUUGCAUAUCCGUGAUUAUUGUUACAUGUUGACAAGCAGUAAUGAGCCUGAUGAAACAACGGAUCACAUUAGAUCAAUUAUGAGAGAAAUUUGAAUGAUUUAUUUGGUAAACUUUCCCAAGAAAAAUAUAAGCCUAUUUGGACAUAAACAAGUAUGGAUAAUUUCUUUCAACUCCACUGCGAUAGCUUUCACAAAAAUGCUUGGAUCUUUAUAAACUGUGAUAUGUUUCUAAUCACUAGCGCAUUUUCCCAGUGUAUACUCCCAACUAGGAAAGUGUAGGUGGUUCAUCGUCGGUAAAUAGUGUUAAUCCCUCUUUUCACACUCCACAUGAAGAACUUGCCUGGUACAAGCUGUAAACAAUCUUAAAUUCUUAAUAAACCUUAAAUUUCUGUACGAAUUUCCCAUCAAAUUAACCAGUUAUGUUCUUUAUUUGGUGGAUUCUGAAAAUGAUACACAACAUUAGAUUGAAGAAAUCCAGAAGAAGGAUAGACAUGGCAUUAUAAUAAAACUGAGUAAUAGCUUAGUUGCAACACAUACCUGUCCCAAAUAGCUUAGUUGUUCACAUGCCAACCUCCUUUUAACAGAUAAAGUGGCAUUUUUACUUUCAAUAGCUAAACCAAGCUGCAUUUCAGUUCCCUGAAGAUGUCAUUCAGCAAACAGUCAACAUUUGUUAAGAUGCUUUAUUCUAAAACUAGAAGCACUAACUUAAUCAUUCAGCCAGAGGAAGGGGUAUAGAUUUGUCUACUUGUGCUAGUGCUUGAAUAGAAAUAGCCUCCAAUACACCCUCAUGUAAAUCUUUUGGCAACCUGCUUCUGAUCAUAUAAUUAAGGAUUACUUUGUAUACAGUGACUAAUAAGACAGUGGGGUAAAUGUUAAAAAAAUUAAACAAACCAACCAAAUGUUCUGGAAAAUAUGUUUGCAUACUUAAUAUCUGGUGGUAAGCGAAUGAGCACAUCGCGAAUUAAGAAUUCUAUGCACCCUGCUGCCUUCAGCAAUAAAUCGACAGCAGUGCUCAUGCUAUCUGGUGGUAUAUACACAUAAUUGGUGAUCAGACAGGAUUUUUAACAUCUAAUUGAAUAAGGUUCCAUAAAAUGAUAAAUAGAUAGAAAAAUCGACCUGAUGAAACCACCCUUUCACAAGAAGCUGUACUAUGAUCCUUUGAAAUUAGCAUCGAGUUAGCCUGAUUCAGUGUCAAUAUAGACAUCAUGUGGACAACAGAGAGUAAUUCAAACCAGGAGUUUGCGACACAUACGUCCUCCUGCGCAUCAUCAAAUUAUGUAUGUAAACACUCGAAUCAGUUUAUACUCAUGAAAAGUAACAAAAAUAAAAUAAAAUGGAGCAGUUUAUGAAAUCCUUACUUGUCGUCCAUCUUCUAUAUUCUUCCAUUUGAAUUCAACCUGUUCUAUGAGACCAUUUUCUGUUGAUCACAAAAGUUAUACACUUUACAUACGUAUAUGUUCACAAAUGUCUAUACAAGAGAGACUGAAAAAAAAAAGAGUGAAACCUUUCUUAGUGAGACCAACAAUGAGAGACAAAUACUCCUCAAGUGCAUGUUGUAAUUCGGGUAUAGCUGAUCCACCUGCAAGAUUUUCAUCAAAUUUCUUUCCUCGGCCUAACACCCAAAANNNNNNNNNNNNNNNNNNNNNNNNNNNNNNNNNNNNNNNNNNNNNNNNNNNNNNNNNNNNNNNNNNNNNNNNNNNNNNNNNNNNNNNNNNNNNNNNNNNNNNNNNNNNNNNNNNNNNNNNNNNNNNNNNNNNNNNNNNNNNNNNNNNNNNNNNNNNNNNNNNNNNNNNNNNNNNNNNNNNNNNNNNNNNNNNNNNNNNNNNNNNNNNNNNNNNNNNNNNNNNNNNNNNNNNNNNNNNNNNNNNNNNNNNNNNNNNNNNNNNNNNNNNNNNNNNNNNNNNNNNNNNNNNNNNNNNNNNNNNNNNNNNNNNNNNNNNNNNNNNNNNNNNNNNNNNNNNNNNNNNNNNNNNNNNNNNNNNNNNNNNNNNNNNNNNNNNNNNNNNNNNNNNNNNNNNNNNNNNNNNNNNNNNNNNNNNNNNNNNNNNNNNNNNNNNNNNNNNNNNNNGGGGGGGAUGAAUUUUUAGUUAUUGGUUUGCAAGAGCAUACCAGUAUCCUCUGCCACAAAAAUGAUAUGAUUACGAAGAGAAGUUAUUCUAUCCACAAGAUCUUUAGGAAUUAGGCCUCUCAGCAUCUUGUGAAGAUCAUGGGAUUGAACAGGAACACGCAAUGGAGGGACAAAGAUGGUAACUUGAGGAAUGUUCUUCUUUUUCUUCCUUCCAAUUGUGUAUAUAGAUGAUGUGCAUCCCAUUGUUCUUGAAUGGAAUUUUCCUUUUACAAAUAUAACAUUUUACAUAUACAAAUACAAUGAUCACGAGUAGUUCUACAGUAGCGUACAAGAAGCCAAAAUGCGAAAUUUAUAAGAAAUAUAAGUACUGCCUUCCAAGUGCUUAUAUUUAACCAAUGCAUAAUUGCACUAAUUCAUACAAAACAGUGAAAGAAAAAGAGGAACAAUUGGUUACAACAUGAUGGGAAACCUGAUAGCACAAUAUGGGCAUCAAUCAAAGCUAGUAAGUUGGGAUAUAAGCAAAAGAAACUAAUAUUAUAGUAUUGUUUUGCAUGUGUAUGUAGCUGUAUAACAUAUAUGUGUAUAGAAUGAGUAGAUUAAAUGUGGGAACACUUGCUGGUUUCUGACGGAUGAGAGAGUGAUGAAGCUUCCAAGCUGCAUUGGAUAUGUUAAUAUCUCCAUCAAAUUAACUUAAAAGAAGGUGAGGCUCGAGAACCAAGGACAACUUUCACAUGGCGACAGUACUUAGUUGUAUAGAGUAGUACAUUGUGUCAGCGACGAUGAAGGGAAUGCUUGGAAAUUUUAGUGGGAAACUAACAUUUGUUUAAUUUUCAUUUCCCUAUUGCUGUAUUGCAGGUAAAGUAAACUAGUUGCAUCUAUCAGGUUAGUUGGUUAAUUUGCUCGACUGCUGAUAAUGCCAAAAUAUUUUUCGAUAUUGAUUAGUAAGUGUCAUCGAACAUGUCGCUAAAUACAUAUUUGUUAUGAGAUGAUCAAUAAAUUGGUAUGUGUCAAUCUUUAAAACUAUCAAUACCAAUAAGUAUAUGUGACCCGCGGACAAACAAAUAGAUUAUAUUGUUUAUUUGUUCGCAAGAACAAAUUCAUUUUGUUCUUCGGGUCUAAUUUUCCUGUCUGCUAAAACUAUUGUAGUAAGUUGUUACAUAUAGUUCAUGUGCUUGCAAGGCCGUGUGAUGUGACGGACGAUUGGUCAGACCAAUUGACGAGUGACAACUGUAGCUACCCACCUAUCACCUAUGAUAUAUAGCAUGGAAAUCCCAACCUGCCCAUAUAAUAAGUUUAACUUUUUAAGAUUUGCACUCCUCGAUCAGCUCUGAGGAUCAAAAUCUUCAAUCCUUCAGCAACACUACUCAUUAUACACUUUAUUUUUGAGGUGCACUAACUUCAUACUACGACGUAUAUUUUCAUGUUGUGUGCGUGUAUCAAGUUUGACUACAAGUCAGGAGGAUUAAGGUUCAAUGAUAUGGCUCGAAUGUUAGGUUUCCACGAUAAAAUUAACGCAUUCCGUUCAGAAAUGAGAGUUCGUUUGACCUUGUAAUACGACAUUUAGUCAUGAUUUUUCUGACUCUAUUUUUUUCAUCAUUAACUUUGAGACUAAUACUCUGUUUCUGAGUUUUAAAAUGAACACAAAAGAAAAGAAAUGGACGGAAAAUUUAAAUUUUCUUUCCAAUUCUUAUUGUUGGGUCAUGAUAUUUUACAUAGUGGGCCGGACUGGUUGGGCCUACUUAUUUGGUUAUUCUCUUGGGUCAUUAUUAUUGGGCCUUGUUAUAGACUAAUUCAUUGGAUUAUCUUGAUUGGGUCUUACAAAGUUUUGGACUGAAUUAUUGAACCGAUCCAUCAGAUAUUUAAAUAUCUACAUCUUUGACCGGUGAUGAUGACAAAGAUAUGACUGGCUAAUAUCUUACAUCGCAUUAAUGAGGAUUGGACAGUUGGUCAGCGGUGGACAGAGGGGAUGGGAUUAACAGGAAAGCUACCUGCAGUAGGUAGGGUCAGGAGGGUCAGUGGCACAAGAAACCGAGUCUUGUAUUAUAUCAUAGCAAGGAAAUCUCCAAAAAAAGGUACGCAUACACACAACACACAUUUUUCUUAUCUCUCUAACACUAGACAUUUUUAUCCUCCAUUGUUAACCCUUGUAACGGCUUGUACUGACUCUCACGCCUGAGCUAUCCCCCGACGGUCCAGCCGUCAAGCUUUUGGUGUUGACUGUGUUUACUGUGCAGGAUCGGGGCGUCUUACGUGAUUGGGACGUGGCAGAAGAUCUUGGCGUUAACAUUGGCGCUAGAAGGAGGGCUGUGUUCUAGUGUCCUUGAGUUUUCAAUCACAAAGUUUCAUUUGUUCUACGUCGGAAAGAAUGGUGAGGAGUAGAACUAGUAUACCGGAGGGACAACCGAUGGCUGUAAAUUCAUCAUUGCCUCGUGUUUCAGUUAAGGAUCGUCUGGGUCCUUUCAAAAGUGCUCUUGAGAGUACGGCUUCCAAGCGUGAUUCAGGGGGUUCUCGUUCGAGAGCCCGUGGUGAAGCCCGAAGGAGGUUGGUCUUUGCGGCUGACAAGGAACGUGAUCAUGGCUGAAGGUAAGUAGAAGGCACCCCACCUAGAACUCGGCACCGAAGUGAUCAGGACGACAAGGCUGCAAAGCUGGCGAAGAUGGCGGACGAAGCAGAUAAAGCUUUGGAGGUUCUCUUGAAGCAGAACGAAGAUAUAGCUGAACAUGUGCUUCAGAUUGCCGAGCUGAAGGACGAGGCGUCCAAAUUAUGAGCAGGUCCUUCGGAUGACGGAGUUGGUGCAGAUCAUUCGGUUGACAGAGCUGGAGCAGGUCCUUCGGAUGGCCGAGUUGGUGCAGGUCCUUCGGUUGGCAGAGUUGGUGCGGAUCCUUCGGUUGGCAAAGCUGAAGUAGGUCCUUCGGAUGGCAAAGUUAGUGUAGAUCCUUCGGUUGGCAGAAUUGGAGCAGGUCCUUCGGGUGGCAUAGCUGGGGCAGAUCCUUCGGUUGACGGAGUUGGUGCAGAUCCUUCGGUUGGCAGAAUUGGAGCAGGUCCUUCGGGUGGCAUAGCUAGGGCAGAUCCUUCGGAUGACAGAGUUGGUGCAGAUCCUUCGGUUGGCAGGGUUGGUGCAGAUCCUUCGGUUGGCAAAAGUUGGUGCAGAUCCUUCGGAUGACAGAGCUGGAACAGAUGCUUCGGAUGGCAGAGCUGAAGGACGAGGCGUCCAAUUAUGUCCAGUCUGAAAGACGUGGUAAAGCAGUCUAUACACUUUGAAGACAUGUCUCAAGAUGAUCCUCAUGGCCGAAGAAGACCAAGGAACCAUACUCCUGAGCAUCCGAAGAGGGUACCUCACUAUAUCGGUUCUCGGGAUUAUGGUCGCAGCAGGCGAAUAAGUUGAUCCAGAGAGUAUACACCUUAGAAUACAAAUAAGGCAUUCUGCCUCGAGUAUUCUCACCACAGUGACAAAAAUCUCCACCGAAAUAGAUCCAAAAAUCACACUCCCGGGAAUCCACUGAGGGCACAUCGCCCUGUGGGUACUUGUCUUCGGAGAAAUCCAUCUAAAGCUGCAAAAGAUCGGACCGUUCAGAAGAAGCUUUGAGGAGGUUUAUGUCCCAAUUAGCAGAAGCAGAGCUCAUGGAUGUUGUGUGUAGACAAAUAUUCUACUUCGAAUAAUCAGUGCGGCAGGCUGUCAAGUUCAGAUUCAGCACAAAAGAUUCACUUUUUCACAACUGAUCUUCUUCCUAUUUGUCCUAAGUUCAUAAUGGUGUAAGAAGGUAUGGUCGGACUCGCUGACCAUUCGAUGGCAGCCUAUUUAUUUGUUACCCCGUGUGGUAGACAAAUCCUAUGGUCCUUUUAAUAUUGUUUUUACCAAGGGUGGUAAAUCAAUGGGCACCGAAGUAAGGAAGAUGGGUUGGACUCGCUGACCAUUCAAUCUAUCAACAAUGACCCAAAUCGCAUCUAUACCUUGAGAAACCUUAAGAAGACCGAUAACGAAAUCCAUGGUAAUGUGCUCCCACUUCCAUUCUGGAAUUUCAAGUGGUUGCAAUGGACCUUUUGGUACUUGAUGCUCCGCUUUAACUCGUUGACAAGUUAGACACCUUGAGAUAAACAAUGCUAUCUCUCUCUUCAUAUUGCUCCACCAAAAUGUAUGACGAAUAUCAUGAUAAAUUUUGGUACUCCCAGGAUGGAUUGCAAACGGUGUGUUGUGCGCCUCCAUCAUGAUUUUAUACUUUAAAUCAGGGUCGUUAGGAACACAAAAUCUGGAGUUGACUCGAAAUAUUCCUUCUUCAUCGAUUUUUGCUUCCGGCAUAGCACCUUCUUGCACAUUCUUCCUCAUACGCAUCAGCUCCAGGUCUGUAGCUUGAGCAGCUUUAACUUUAUCGAUUAAAGUCGGUUCUACUCGUAUAUUCGCCAUCAUCACGUGGGUCCCUGGAGUCUUUAUCUCUAUCUCCAUCCUUUGCAAGUCAUACAAAAUGGGCCUUUGCGUUGACAAUAUCGCACUCGUACCCGCAUAUGAUCUUCUACUCAAUGCGUCAGCUACCACGUUCGCUUUUCCAGGAUGGUAUUGGAUGGUAUGAUCAUAAUCUUUCAACAGUUCAAGCCAACGUCGUUGUCGCAUGUUGAGUUCCUUUUGAGUGAAGAAAUAUUUGAGGCUUUUAUGAUCCGUAAAGAUCUCCACUUUCUCCCCAUACAAGUAAUGCCUCCAAAUCUUUAGUGCGAAGACAACAGCUGCCAACUCUAGAUCAUGAGUAGGAUAAUUCCUCUCAUAUUCUUUGAGUUGUCGUGAGGCAUAGGCUAUGACUUUCCCAUGUUGCAUGAGAACACAUCCUAACCCUUUGCCCGAAGCAUCACUGUAGAUGACAAAUCCCUCCGAGCCAGAUGGUAUUGUCAGAACAGGUGCUGAAAUGAGUCUCCUCUUGAGUUCUUGAAAACUCUUCUCACAUUCCUCGCUCCAACCGAAUUUUGUAUCUUUCCGAGUCAGCUGAGUUAAUGGAGUAGCGAUUCGAGAAAACCCUUCUACGAAUCUCCGAUAAUAACCAGCUAAGCCGAGAAAGCUACGUACUUCGGUCACUGAUUUAGGUUGCUCCCAGCUUUGAAUAGCUUCAAUCUUUGCUGGGUCAACAGAUAUUCCAUGACUUGAUACCACGUGCCCAAGGAAUGCUACUUCCUCAAGCCAGAACUCGCAUUUCUUCAACUUGGCAUAAAGCUUGUAUUCACGAAGCUUUUGGAGUGUCAGCCUCAAGUGUUGCUCAUGAUCUUCACGGCUUUUGGAAUAAAUAAGGAUGUCAUCAAUAAAGACGACCACAAAGUGAUCCAAAUAUUCCUUGAAUACUCGGUUCAUCAUAUCCAUGAAGGCAGCAGGAGCAUUAGUCAAUCCAAAGGACAUGACUAGGAAUUCAUAAUGCCCGUACCGAGUUCUGAAAGCCGUCUUUGGAAUGUCAUCGGUUCUAAUCUUCAAUUGGUGAUAUCCGGAACGAAGAUCAAUCUUUGAAAAGAAUUUGGCUCCUUGCAACUGGUCAAACAGGUCAUCAAUACGUGGCAAUGGGUACCUAUUUUUGAUGGUGACAUGAUUCAACUCCCGAUAAUCAAUACAAAGUCGCAUACUCCCAUCUUUCUUCUUCACGAAUAGAACAGGAGCACCCCAAGGAGAAGUACUAGGACGAAUAAAGCCAAUGUCUAACAAUUCCUGCAGUUGGGUCUUUAACUCCUGAAGUUCAAUAGGAGCCAUUCGAUAUGGGGCUUUGGAAAUGGGUUUUGUACCGGGUUCAAGGUCGAUACAAAAUUCAAUUUCACGCUCAGGGGGUAGGCCAGGAAGUUCUUCGGGGAAUACGUCAGGAAAUUUAUUAACAAUAGAAAUAUCGUUCAAAACUGACGUAUUUUUGUUUAAAUCUGUGACAUGAGCUAAGAAAGCUUGACAUCCGUUUUUCAAUAAACGAAUAGCUUUAUGGCUUGAGAUGACCGUGAUUGAUUUUAAUGGUUUGGUCGCUUGAAUUCGCAUAAUAGGUUGAUUAGGAAUAUGAAAGCUAACAACCUUACGAAAAUAAUUAAUUUUUGCAUGAUGAGUAGUUCAUCAAUCAAUCCCUAGAAUCACGUCAAAUGCAAGUAUUUUUAAUGAAAUAAGAUCGACAGGUAAUAUGAGGGUACCUAUUUGAGCCAAACAAGACUUAUAAACAGUGGAUAUAAUGAAGGUUUCUCCCAACGGAGUUUCCACAGAUAAGUCAGAGUCUAAUUUCUCCGGAGUUAAAUUUAAUCGAUGAGCGCAAGUAGGAGAAAUAAAAGAAUGAGUAGAACCGGUAUCAAAUAAAGUAUAGACUUCGUUAGAGUUUAUGAUAAGCUUACCCGUGAUGACCUCAUUCGGGUUCCUUACUUUCUGGGAGGUCACAAUAAACGCUCUCCCUUGGACUACCGGCUUUGGCCUUUCUGGGACAGCCUUUGGUGCCUCCAUCCUAGCUGAAUUUGUCUUCGGUGAACGACAAAAUCGGGCUAAGUGACAUUCUCUUCCACACUUAUAACAUGCUUUGGACGGCAUCGCGCAAUUUGGACUGAUGUGUCCCUCCCCUCUGCAUUUGAAGCAUAUGAUAGGUGGUCUUUCUCCUUCCUUAACAACGGGUGCUGGUGCUGACGUCUUCCCAUCAUUGUUGAAUCUCCUCUUCUUGAAAUGUCCAUUCUUAUUAUUUUGGCCCUGAUUACCACUGAAGUGGUUACCAUUUCUGGCCUGUUGAUUCCCUCCACGUUUGUUGUCACCGCUUCGAUGACUACUCUAGCUGGUAUUAUAAUUUUACCGGCUGUUCUCUUUUAGUUGUGUUGACUCGUUAUCGCGCUCCACUAACUGAGCCCUAUUUACAACAUCUGAAUACAAACACAGUUUAUGAGAAAUAAGAUGUUGACGUAUCUCCGGCUUCAAACCUCUUAAAAACAUUCGCGCCAUUCUCUCUUCAUUAUCCACCAAGUGGGACGCAAAUCAUGAUAACUCCGCAAAUUUUGUUGAGUACGUUUUACCGAUUCCCACCAGUAAUCUGCCUCUCCGCGCAACAUAAAGGCGGCAAAGGGAACCUUUUGCUCCUCGGAGCAUCCCAAGACAUCAAAUAUCUUGGUGAUCUGUUUUAUCCAUGCUUCCGCCAUAAGUGGUUUUGGCUCUCCCUUAAACUCCGGUGGUCCCAACUCCUUGAACUGUUUAGCGGUGACCGCCCGAGAGUUUCCCGUGUUUCCACCUACGUUUUGGACAGUAGCCGAUCUCGCCUGCUGUUGCAUGAAUUACAUAAAGCCUCUGAACAUUUGAUCAUUCAUCAUUUGGUAAGUGUUGUUGUUUGCAUGAGGAUUGUCGCCUUCUUGAUGCACAUUAUCCUGAUUAUUGAUAUGUGGUGAAUCAACGGUCGUCUGUGCUCCAUUGCUAUUCUCAACAUUCUCAGAUGUCAUUUUCAGAUACUGCCACAAAACAAAAGGUUAAUUGACAUGUAACAUAUUAUCCCUAUAUUCUGACCGACCAAUAAAAUAGCACAUAAACUUAGGUAGGUCAUACUAGCGAAGGAAUUCCCCGUCUCUCCCCUCCUAGUACUAUUCUCACAUCUUAGCCAGGGAUCAUAUCCCUAAGCUUUGAUACCAACUGUGACGCCCCCAAAAUUAGGUAUACAUCACCCAUCUUGGGUCGCCAGAUACAUGGUACAGAAUUCAAAUACAACUUACUAAUACAACUGUCGUGUACAAUACGACAAAACAUAAACUGUGAGUUUGAAUACAAAUAUUGUCUACUAGAGAUUAUACAAACUCAAAAGGAGUCCUCAUUACAAUUAUUAUCACACUAUUUCACAGAAUAGUGAGGACUACUAAUGCUAUCCUCUGGACCAUCACUCCGUUCCCCGACUCGUCCCAGCUAUAUUCUCAUUUCCUGAAGAGAACAGUGAAAGAAAGGGUGAGCUCAACUAGCCCAGUAAGAAAUAUUAUGACUAAGAUAAUGCAGAAUAAAUUAUCAUUAGCCUUCAACAGUGUUAAACUGAUAAAAUAUAAUAAACAUCAAGUUUAACUGCAGCGGAACCAGCAAUCCAUUAAAAGAGUCAAGUAGAAAAUAAAAUCUACUAUCUUUUAUGAUUUAAAAGGUUUUUCAUCACUGUUAUCGCUGAGACUCAGCUUAAUAAAUAUUCCACAUCAUCGAAUCACCCCUGCACUACGGCCAAGGAUAUUCUUUAGUAUCACGACCACAAUUAUCCAUGCACUACGGGCCAAGAAUAUUUGUGUAUUCAUUAAUGGUCAUGAUCAUGCCAACAACUGUCCAUCAAUGCACUACGGGCCAAUGAGGACUUUUACCACAUCAUUUGUAACAUUACGGUCAUGAUUACACCGAAUAAUCCCUGGUCAUAAUCAUACCAAGUCCAUCUAUGCACUACAGGCCACAGAUGACUUUCAACAAAAUAUAAACAUGAGGAUGAUGACAAUGAUAUAAGAAUUCAAUAAAACAAGUUCAAGAAUUAUUUUAUCCAGGAACUAAUAACGUCCAAAUUGUCAACAUGAUACUGCUUUGUAGAGUAAAAUUCAAGAAUGCUCAGAAGAAUAUUUCCAUGAAAAGAUACUGGAUGAAGCGCAAAUAUCAAGGAUAUUCCACUAAUUUCAUGGAGUAUAGAAGUCAAAACUUUAACCAACUGAGUAUAAUAAAGAAUGGAAUAACAAAAGAAAUCACCAUGCAUGCGGUACUUCGCAUAGACAGGUUAUUCCAACAGAAUAAUAAUAACGGAACCAGGUCAGGCAAAAUUUGCACCGACAGGAUGUUCCAACAGAAUAAUAAAGACGGAACCAGGUCCGGUGUAAAACACACAGACAGGAUGUUCCAACAGAAUAAUAAUAAAGACGGAACCAGGUCCGGUGUAAAACACACAGACAGGAUGUUCCAACAGAAUAAUAGAAGAAUGUCACCAAGUAUAGGGUAAACCGCGUAUACAGGUUAUUCCAACAGAAUAAUAAGCAAUGGAAUAACAACAGUUCUCUUCAUGAAUAAGAAAGAAUAACACCCCUUACAUUAGUAGGAGAUUGAAUACUGCAGUAGUGUAGUAACAGAAUACUCUUCUUCUUUCUCUCUUAUUCUCUCUAUACUUUCUCUCUCU